RNAcentral lists this long non-coding RNA (48568 nucleotides) under Theobroma cacao (cacao). Its description in RNAcentral is "long non-coding RNA (TCAC_LNC001286)". The record is from RNAcentral. Lineage: Eukaryota; Viridiplantae; Streptophyta; Magnoliopsida; Malvales; Malvaceae.
AGAUUAGUGGUUGGACAAACCAAUAUUAAAUUUCACAUAUUGGAUUUUUCUUGUAAUUGUAGAUAACUCAAGACUGUAACCAUGAAUCAUUGGUAGGGUGAUAACAUGGUUAAUAAACUAGAAUUAUUUUUAAUGAGAUUAAGAGAUAAUUCAAUUCUUAUUGGAGCUUGAAAUAUCUACGUCCAAUGCGAUUCUCCACUUAGAGUUCAACUCGUUUAAGAUGGAAUGUGUGUUUAAUUAUUUAUGCAAAUUAAUAUUCAAAUUAGGUAAAUAAGUGUUGCCUUAAUUAAGACAAAAGUUGUUUUAAUUUAGACAAGGUGCAUAUAACUUUUUAAUUAUAAACAUGAGUAUAUGCAAGUUGACUAAGACAAAGGUUGUCUUAAUCAUAUUCUUUUUUAGUAAGUCAAAAUUAUCUUAAUAUAUAAAUAUUUUUUAUAGAAAAAUAUUUAUUAACAUAAUUAUUGACUUAAAAAUAAAAAUAACAAUGGAGGAUAUUUAAUUAUAAAUAUAGCAAGUAAAACUAUUAAUUUUUUAUUUAUAAUUAAUUAUAAUUAUGAGAUAAUUAUAUUACUCCAUGUGUGAUUAGGAUUUUCUUAUUUUAUUAUUAAUUCUUUUUAAUUAAAGAUAGAUAAUAAUAAAAUAGAAUAAUCCUAAUUUGUCAUAGACUAGCAAAUAUUAUUAAAUUAUAAUUGUAGGUGGUAAAUAUUAAUUUAAUUUUAAUUAAUUAAAUUAAAAGGAGUUUUAGGAAAGAAAUAUCUCUCUUAUUUUUAUGAGACUGAAAAUCAGAUUAUAAAUAUGUGUUUUAGCCAAAACCGUAGCUCACCUUCUUUUGACAUAGCCAAACUCCAUCUCUCUCGAGGUUUUCUUCUUACUCCCAUUAGUAAUUUUCUACAAGCCCCACACAAAGAAAAAUUGCCCUAAAAAAAAUUAAGAGAAAACUAUCUAGUUACCAUCUUGAAAAAUAUUCCAAAUCUAGCCCAUUUAAGGUUCGAGAUUGAAAGAUUCUGGAAGAAUAAGUGUUAAUUCAAAAUUGGUUGAGAAUUCUAAUAAUUGGUGUGGUGGUGAAUUUACUACAAUUCACUAGGAGAAAAGGAUCAAAUAUAUUCCUAGCACGUAGUAGGUAAUUUCUCUUACUUUUGAUUUUUUUAUAAUGAUGUGAUUAUUAUUUGAUUUGCAUGAUAUGUGAUUGUGAAUUUUCGCUUAUGUAAAGUGGAUAAAUUGCUUCCAUACCUAGAAAAUUUUUGAAAUCCAUAAGUUACACAAUUACAAGCAUACACUACGAUCCAAAUUAAACAUGUACAUCUUAGAUCAGUUAAGUUAUUAAUUGUACUCCAUAUUUUUUUUAUUUUUGAUUGAUUAGAGCGUCCAAAGCACUCUUAGGGGUUGUUAUAAUUGUUAAAAGUUUAGGUUAGAAGCUUACCUUGUAAAAGCUUGGUGGAAGUUGUUAAUUUCACUAGUUUGGUGAAGUUGGGUUGAAAAUCCUUUAUUGGAAGAUCAAGAUAGUGGAUGUAGGUCAAGAGGACCGAACCACUAUAAAUAUUUAUAUUAUGUCCAUUUCUCUCUACCUUUUUUUUACUUGUUGCCUUUUAGCUUGAACAAGUAUUAAACCUUCCACUUCAAAUUAUAUAGAAAUUUGAAUCAAAUAUAUUCCUAGCACGUAGUAGGUAAUUUCUCUUACUUUUGAUUUUUUUAUAAUGAUGCGAUUAUUAUUUGAUUUGCAUGAUAUGCGAUUGUGAAUUUUCACUUUUGUAAAGUGGAUAAAUUGCUUCCAUACCUAGAAAAUUUUUGAAAUCCAUAAGUUACACAAUUACAAGCAUACACUACGAUCCAAAUGAAACAUGUACUUCUUAGAUCAGUGAAGUUAUUAAUUGUACUCCAUCUUUUCUUUAUUUUUGAUUGAUUAGAGUGUGCUAAGCACUUUAAGGGUUGUUAUAAUUGUUAAAAGUUUAGGUUAGAAGCUUACCUUGUAAAAGCUUGGUGGAAGUUGUUAAUUUCACUGGUUUGGUGAAGUUGGGUUGAAAAUCCUUUAUUGGAAGAUCAAGAUAGCGGAUGUAGCUCAAGAGGACCGAACCACUAUAAAUAUUUAUGUUAUGUCCAUUUCUCUCUACCUUUUUUUUACUUGUUGCCUUUUAGCUUCAACAAGUAUUAAACCUUCCACUUCAAAUUUUAUAGAAAUUUUUAAAGCUUAAAAGCUGCUUUUAAAAUAUCUUUUAAGUGUUAUUCACCCCCCUCUAGCACUCUAUUAGGACCAACAACCCUGACUAGGAGAACCUUUCAAAUAUUUCAAGAUGUUAUAAGCUACUUGUAAGUGUUUAUUCCUUCAUCUAUCCAUGAAUUGAGAAAGAACUUGGACCCCAUACAUGAUAUUUGGUCUAGUGAAUGUGAGGUAUAACAAUUUCCCAACUAACUGUCUAUAAAUGGAACUAUUUACAGCAAAAAUUAUGUAUCAACUACAGUAAUUUUAUGAUUAUAAUCAACUGGUGUAGAUGCUAGUUUUGCACCCAUUAGACCAAGUUCCGUAAUCAAGUCUAAAGCAUAUUUCCUUUGGCAUAGCAACAAACCCUUCUCUAGACAAGAAAUACUUAGGAAUUAACCUUUAUACCUAAGAAAUACUUAAGAAUUCCUAGAUCCUUCAACUUAAACUUGGAUUUAAAGUACUAUUUCCCUUUGGAUUCAACUUCAACAUAAGAACUAGCAAUCAUUUUGUCAUCUACAUACACUAAUAAUGUUACAAAAUUACCAUCAACUAACCUUUUUCUAAACAAAGAAUAAUAUGUUUUUGAUUAGAUAAAGCCAAAUUGCAAUAAGGUGGCUAAAAAAGGAAAAUUUUUAUAUAAGUUUUAGGUGAAUCUAGAAGCUAGAGAUCCAUCUCAUAAAGAAAGAGCAUUCCAUUGUUUGGAAGCCUGCUUAAGUCCAUAAAAAGAUUUUUGUAGCUUGUAUACUAAUCUUUAGCCAGGUGGACAUUUCUCCUUAGCUCCAAAACCUUGAGGUAACUCCAUGUAUACAUCCUUAAGAAGAUCACCAUGUAGAAAAGCAUUAUUAAUAUCUAAUUGGGACAAUAACCAGCCAUGAAUUAUAAUUAAUGCCAAAAAUGGCCCUAUUGUUUUAUGCUUUGCUAAAAGGCUAAAAGUGUCUUGAUUAUCAAAUCUCUCUUUCUAAGUGUAGCCUUUAGCUAUUAUUUUGGCCUUAUACCUUUUGAUGCUGACAUCAACUCUCAUCUUGACCUUAUUCACCCAUUUAGAACCUAUAACCUUAAAAUUAAUAAGCAUAGGCAUAAUAGUCCAUGUAUUAUUCUCAACCAAAGCAUUUAAGUUAAAUUUCAUGGCUCUCUCCACUAUGCAUGAUGGACAACUUGUGAAUAAUAAGUAGGUUUUAUGACGUGAGAUAAUUUUGUGGUGAAUGCCUUAUAAGUAGGUGAAAGUUGGUUGGUAGACAAAAAUUUUGUGAUAAGAAUAACUUUAACAUUAAAAAAAAGGAAAGAAGCAGACAUUGGAAAGAUUCUAAGUAUUUAGGUAUUUGUUUGACUUUAUGCCUCUUUUCGGAUUUUUUAGAUUAGGGGAAGAAUAAAAAUUGUCAAAGGAAGGAGAAGUUUGAGCGAAAGUGGAGAAAUCUGUGUGAACAAAGUCUGUAUGGACAGAUUCGAUAUGAAUAGGCUCUAUGUUAUUUGGUAGGGUAAGAGUUUAGGGUGAAGGUAAAACAUCAAAGUAACUAUCAGCCACAACAAAUGAAGAUAAAGUUACACAGGAAUGUAAUGCAGAACCUAAACCAAAAGCUUUAUUCUUUUCUUUAAAAAGAAAAACAUUUUCAUGAAAUACAACAUUUCUUGAAAUAAAUUAUUUGUCAGCUUGAAAAUCAAAAAGUUUAUAUCCUUUGACAUGUACUAGAUAUCCAAUGAAGAUGCAUCUUUUGGCCCAAGGAUCAAACUUUCUUCUAUUAUGUGGCAAAGUGGUUGCAAAACACAAAGAGCCAAAGACUUUGAAAUGAGAAUAGGUUGGAGGUUUACCAAAAAGUAAUUCAUAAGGUGUCUUGUUUUGAAUGACUAAGUAAGGUAUUCUAUUGAUUAUUUAUGCUGCAAUAAGAACAGAAUCACCCCAAAACUUAGUAGGCAAAAAGGAUUGUAAGAGUAAUGCUCUAGCUAUGUUCAAUAAAGAUUGAUGCUUUCUCUCAACUCUACCAUCUAUUGUGGAGUGUCUAUACAGGACAUUUGGUGCACAAUACCAUGCUUAGAAUCAAACUCUUUUAGCUUAACUCAAGACCAUUAUUAGAUCAAAACUAUUUUAUUAGUUUUCGAAAUUGUGUAAGAAUCAUUUGAUAAAAUGCUAGAAUGAUAGUACUGACAUUUGAUUUUGACCUAACAAGAUAUGUCCAAGUAAACCUACUAUAAUCAUUCACUAUAGUUAAAAAGAAAUUAUGACAAUUUAAAGUUGGAAUUGUGUAUGGCACCUAUAUAUUUACAUGUAUCAACUCAAAAGAUGAUUUUUUAGACCACAAAUGUGAUGGAAAAGGCAAUUAUUUUUGUUUAGCUAAUGAACAAACAUUACAUUAAAAAUCUUGGUGAAAAUUAACAUCAGAACAUGACUCGUGAGUCUGUUUUAUUCUUUGUAUAGAAACAUUUCUUAGCCUAUAAUGCCAAACAUCAAAAUCAAAAUUUAUAGAUUGACAAGAAUUUGAAUAAAUAGUAGAUUGAGAAUUCACUAGAAAAACAAAAAUAAAAUUUGCAAGAAAACUAGAAAGUGCAAAAUUAAAGUGUGAAGAGUUAGGACAUUUUGUAGAUGAUAUUUGUGCAUCCAAGUGUCUUUGCAUGACAUGCAACCCUUUUGUGACCUUAGUAUCACCAAUCAUUGUCCAUGUAGGAAGAUCUUGAAUGAUACGAUAAUUGUUAGUAAAGAUCAAGAAAUUUUUCUUAGUCUCUAUAAGUUUGCUAACUGACAAUAGAUUAAAUUUGAAAUAAGGAACAAACAGGACAUUCUUUAGUACCAAGCCUUUUCACAAGUGAGUGAUUCCUACAUGAGUAACUACAACUUUGGUAUUAUUAGGCACUUGCACAAAAAUAUUUUGAACAGAUUUAAAGGUCUUAAAUUGAUGCAAAGGACAAGCAAUAUAAUUUGUAGCUCCUGUGUUUAAUAUCCAAGUAUCAUACUUCAAAGAAAACAUAGAAUUUUAACAAAAAAACAAUUGUGUUUAGAAAUUAUACUUGCCAAACUAAGUUUAUAAGUAAAGGUUUGAUCUGUUAGUUUGCCAAAGAAGAUUCUUGAUCAUUGUUUGUACUAGGUUUCACAAUUAUGAGGGUUAUUAAUUUUUGAAUUUGAUCCUUGAUUAGAGAAAAUUGAGUUAAUGGACUUUCGACAGUAUCUUCAAAAUCAUCACAAUCUUUGCUAAUGACAUCACUAUUUGACAGUAGCAUUAUUUUCUCCUCUCUUGAAAUUCCCUUUUGGCUUGGUGAACUUGAAAUUCUCUGGGAAUCUAAUAAGUCGAUAGCAUUCAUCUUUCAUUGUCCUUGUAACGACCAUUCCUCGAUCGUUACCAAUGUCCAAGACUUGCGAGAGAACCCGCCAAAUCCUGAACAAGCCUUAGUUGAAUCUUUGGUUAUUAUGCCAUCAAUUUAUGAAACUAUUUGAACCAUAUAUCUCUUUGUAAUAAGGAUUAAACAUAAUCAUAAUAAACCAUCUUAACCUUUAUUCACCAAACCCGUGAAGAUUACAUUAUAGUCUAUAAUUAUUCAAUUGUACACUUACAUUGACACUACUUACAAAUAUAUUACACUAUGAAUGACUCGACCUCUAGCAGCAGAGCGACUCGAAAUAAAGUGCUACGAGAUGCCUUUACCUAUGUUACAGCAAGUCUCGAUGUGCUGAGUGAUGCACUUGAACUGAUUACUUAUCUGCAAAAGGAAAUAAAGGGGGUGAGUCUCACAGGCUCAGUGAUCAUCAACUCUGUGAGUAGGGCAUAGAUGGGAAACAAGCUUAAGGUAGAUUAUUUGAAUGAUAAAACUAGAAUAAAAGUAUUAAUCCUAGAAAAAUCAAAUCACAAAUAGAGUGUUUGUGCCUUGUAAAAAUGAUGCUGUCAAAUCAGUGUGCAAUAUUUCACUUGGCAAAACGAUGCCAAAAAACAAGAAUAGCAAAACCAAGUUCAAUCAUAGAAAACAUCACUUACUAUCAAAAUACGAGAAACAGUAUAAAAGUAUGCACGCUCCUAAGUUGUGUGGCACGUAAAGAAAUCAAUUUAUAAAGCCACAUAAACUAGCUCAUGAUUGUCAAAUAAGCAAUGAAGCUUUUAUUCAAAUAAGGGGAGCUGCAGAGAAAAUCUUAACUCUCCACCAUGCAAAAGAGUACUCGUCGAAAAACUCACAAGGCUCUCGAGUAGGAAAGUAUAAUAUCAACAUGUGGACCCAUUUCCACAUAAUAACAAUCCGGGAGCAGCACUUCCACUGGAUUCCCACAUGCCAUGGCACUCUCAACGAUGUUAGCUGACAUUAGAGAAUCAGGCAGUUGCAACCGCGAAUAUCACUUGUGGCCUAGCCACGUAUAUCACAGACCAUGGCCCCAGCCAUGUCUAAUAGCCUAUCAGUGACCCAAAGGUUCUCUAGUUAGAGCUCACUUGUGCACAAGGGUUACACUUAACCGAAGUGGCAUCCAGCUACUCUCGAUGCUCUCGGUUUGUGAAAACUGUUUUCAAAACUAAAUCAAGUUUUUUGAGACUUUUUCCUUUAAAUCGUUUGAAAUCAAGGUUUGAUAACCUGUCAAAUUGCAUUUCUCAUUAAUUGGCUUGGUGUAAACACGUGUACAAAGGUCGAAAUAAAACUGGUGCUCAAAACUUGUAUUUAAAUCAUUUUAACAAAUGCAUUUAGCUAUACAGAUCACAUAAAAAUACAAGGCACAAAUUUUGAUGCAAACAUUGUAAAAAGGCUUGUUUCUCGGUUUCUAAAACACUUUACAUAUAUAGAUUAUCUAUAGGCAUAUCCAAACCAACUUUAAAAACAACUUGCAUCCACAAAAUACCUAGGAUUCUACACGCUCAUGCUUUCCACAAAUUUGCAUUUAAAAUAAAUUAUUACAUAUAUAUUUUAUGGAAAUUUGGAAAUCGACACCCCCUACUCACCUUUCAAUGGCGGGAUAUCACUUCGCCACUUAUCCGGUUAUGUUUUCUCCUUUAGUUGAUCACCACAGUGUCCCUUUUCACUUGCACACUUCCUUGCGAUAAACCAAACCUAAUAAUCCUAGUGUUUAUCAUUCCCAUUUUACUCAAUUAUUUGCAAGUUUACAUGCAUCAUCAUCUAUUCAACUUUCAAUGCUUUAUUUCUCAAUCCACCAUUCACAUUAUUCCUUUUUCAUUUCUUUCAAACAACAACAUAACAAGCCACUUAACAUGUCCAUCUAGCUCAUGCAUUUUAGAUCCUUUUAACAACCAUUAAUCAUGCAUACGGUAGCAGCUAUAAACCUAUUUCCACCAAGUAAUUUCUAAGCUUAUGUGCAACACUAUUCAUAUUUACAUGCCGCCACUAAGCACAACAUAAAUUUUCAUUCAUGCACACCACAUUCUUAACCUUUAAGCCUUUCACAAUAACACAUGUCCACACAUUUAUGUUUCAAGCUUUCAACCAACAUAAUUAUUUUUUAACCAUACCUAAGGCAUCACAUAAACACUACACAUUGUUUGCCUUACCUUUGUGUGGGAUUUGCUCUUGCAUGCAACCUCAAUGUUUUUCCAAUACUCCUCUCACCAAGCUGCCAACAUUUUACACAAUCAUUUCCUCACAAUAUAUAACCAACUGUGGACCUCAAAUUAUGGUAUUAUGCUUACCAUUUCUUUUUCACUUUGAAUCCAUCAUGCACCCAUGAUUUUGAUAGCUUUGAAUGUCUCUAAAUCCUCUCCAUUCAAGCCAAUCUUUGCUGCCACAAGGCAUUUCAUAUAGUUACAAACCCAUUCUCAAGAAAUGUUCAAGCUAAAACCAAAGUUCUUACCUUAUCUUGCUUAAGUCACAAAACCAAGCUUUACACUUCCUUCCACACUCCACGGCUUUUCUCUUGAGUAUUGGAUAUUCCUUGGGUGAUGAAAUAGCACAAAUCUUCAAGAUGAGGGAGGAAACCUCUCAGUUCCUCUUGGUUUUGUGCAAAAUCGAGCCUUGCCUUCCUUUCUCUCUUUUUCUUCAUUUUUUUCUUUCUUUUCUUUUCUUCUUUCUUCUCCUUUCUCUUUUCUUCAUUUCUUUCUUUCUUUUCCUUUCUUCUUUCUUCACCUUUCUCUUUUCUUCUUGGUUAUGGGUAGACUUCUCAAGGCCAAAGCCUUGAAAAUAGAUUUCAUUUUCUCAUUUUGCUCACCCAUGGGUAGAUUGCCCAAAGUCAUGUCUUUUUCCAUUAUUUUCUUGUCUUUUCUCUUUACAUGUCAUGCCAUUCAACUCAAAUUUCCUCAUUUUGUUUACUUACAUUUCAUUUCACUUGUAUUUCUAUGCAUUUCAUUUUUAUUUCCUUUCAAUGCCACCUUAUCACCCAAUAACAUUUCAUGCACAUUUCCUUUGCCAAUAACCUUUGCCAUCCCAUGAACCAAUAAGACUUCAUGCAUUUUUGCACUCUUGAAUCCUAUUUGACCUCCCUCAAAAUCAAUAAAAUUUCAUGCAACUAAAUUAUUCUUUAUUUUUCUUAUUAAAUCAAAUUAGCAGCCUUACUUGCUUUACCAUGGGCUAUCUUUUCCAAACCAUGGUUUUCUUCCACUUAAUUAUUCUUUAUUCUUUUUUCUAUUUGUCAACUAUCGCACGAUGGAGUCCCACAUGUUUCCCACUAACUCCCUAUUUUUGCAUGCUAUGAUUGCAUGUAAUAGUAAUUUCUACAUGUAUAUCUCAUAUUCCUCAUAAUCUAACCUUCCUUUGUUAGGAAAUUUCCCUUUUUAACUUCAAAUAUUGAAAUUGCAAAUGAGUUAUCAUACUUUUCCUUAUUUACCAUGUGACCCUACCAACUUCCAUCCUUUACAAUUGGGUUCUACCGACAUUUCUUAAACUCUAAUUUUUUUCUAUUUUUCUUCCUUUACAUGUGUACAAACAAAAUAUAAAAUUUGCACUUCACCACUAUAUCACCAUAAUAUUUAAACAUAUACUUACUCAUGCUAACUUUAUUCAAUAAAGACACGCGAGCCCCACUAACGUUGUUUUUCUUCGAAAUUCUUUCUUACUUCUUCUCCUCCACUUAGAUUAGUCAUAUAAUCCUACUUUCGAUAAUAAAUAAAAUAUUAAUAUUUUAAUAUUAUUUUAUUCUAAAAUUUUUCACUUGUCUCCUUCGGACCCAAUAUGUCUCACUUAGUCCCGGUUCACUUCCCACUCACCUUUUAACUCGUUAAUCCAUGCUCUAUAAAAAUAUUAUUAUUUAAUUAUUAUUUCUUCGCGUAUGAAACAUUUUAUUUUAAAAUAUUCCUAGCACCCAUUACCACUCUUUGGCACUUAAAUUGAUGUCAAUUGACCCUUCAUCUUGUCAAUAAGGUCUUAUUGACUUCUAUAUGAGGGUACGGGGCGUUACAGUCCUUCCUUCUCACAGUGACUAAAAACAAGAUUCAUAUUUUUCUUCUUUUUUUCAUCAGCAAUAGAAAACCAUAGUAGAUGCCUCAAUCAACGAUUGAGACUAAAUGAACAGGGAUCUCUAUGACUUUCAUGGAAAACCAUAUUAUACGCCUCGUUUAGGUUAUGAAAGGGCCUAAUCAUUAAUAGAUGUGACCUUAAGGUUGAAUAUGAAUCAUUCAAGCCAUUGAGAAAAUGGAACAUAGUCCCAUUGUUAUAUUGAUCUACAAAUUUAGUAAGACAUUUAUUUUUGCAUUCUACACAUUUACAUUCACAAUAAGGCAAUGGCUUGUAACUUUUCAACUUUUCCCAAAUGAACUUGAAAUUAAUGUGAAUUGCAGACUAAAAAUUUGUAGAUCAUCUAGUUGUGAAAAUCUUUCCUUUAGGCUUUCCCAAAUUUGUUGUGCAGAAUCCAUGAAGAAAACUAUAGAGACAAUCUUAAAGGAAAGUGAGUCAAGCAACCAAGUUGUAAUCAACUUGUUGCAUCUAUUUUAAGGGCCAUAAAUGGAUCUGUAGGCUUUUUCUCUUUAAUGGAUCCAUACACAAAACUUGUCUUGUGGUGAAUGACCAAACCAAAAAGAAAGGAAUGACUCCAUGCCAAGUAAUUAGAUGAUGUUAGUUUAGGGUUUGACAUUACCAAACUUUGAUUAUCUGAAUAAUGAACAUAAUAUGAAGAUUAAGGAUUCUCUACAAGUGAGAUUAGAGAACUCGCAAGUGAGAUUGAAGAAUUUUAAACCGUCUUGUGUUGAAACAAGUAAGAACCACCAGAGUGAAACGGAAUUUGUAUAUUGAAAGAAUGAGCUUCUAAAAUCCAAAAGAAAACAAAAAAAAACCCCAAAUGAAGAAAUUUCAAUCUACAAAAAAUAAAUCAAUGUAAAUCAAAGUAAAGUUCUAAAAUCACAGAUGAAAAUCAAGCCAUAGCUUUGUGUCACAGUCUAAUCUCGAGCCAUGAUCGGCGCAUGGACCCAAUAGGCAUAGCCCACUAGGCCCAAGCAAACCUUUUUAUGAAAACUUGUUCAUUAGACCAUUUGUCCCUUAUCCACCUCUAAGGUUCUCAAUUCAUAAUUUUCAAUAAUGAUUUCUUCUCAAGAAUAAAUCAUGGCAACCGAGCAUAUACCAUUCACAAAAUAAUAUUAUCACUUGCCAACCUAUGGCGACAUUAUUAUUCAAACCAAACAUAUAGUGUUUACAACAAAUCUCAAGAAUUAUAUUUAAACAAUCAUAUACACAUGCGAAAGACCUUGACUAUUAGCAGAGUGACUCUAGGAGUGGGUACUAUCCUUAAGUAUCAUGGCAAACCUACCGAAAGAUGAAUAUGAGAAAGCACCUCAACCUAGAAUCCAACUACCUCCGAACCUGAAAACUAAAACAUGAAGUUGAAAAGGGUGAGUAUAAACCCAGUGAGUGAACAUAGGAAGGGAACAACCGAACGAUAUGGAAGAUUUUUAGAAAACACGAUGCACUUGUAUUGAAACCAUGCAAUUUGUAUAUCAUAAACAAACUCGAUGCCAUGUUGACUUUUAAAUCAUUUUAAAAUAUUUAGGAAAUUCAACUUUCAAUAUUCAAUGCAAUCACAUUUCAAACAUGCAUGAAACACAUCAAGGUCAAUCACAACUAGACAACAUGGCUCAACGCAUAUAACUGCCAUCCUCAUCUCAGCUCAUAUGCACUCCUACACCGCACAUAGCUAAUAUCCUCAUGUGCACUCCCACACGGCACAUGGCAAAUAUCAUCAUCAUGUGUUCUCCCACACCGCACAUGGCAUAUAUCAUCAUCAUGUGCUCUCCCACACCGCACAUGGCAUAUAUCAUCUAUGUGUGCUCUCUCACACCGCACACUACUAGCACCAUCAUGUGCACUCCCACACCACACACGCACGAUUAUAAUUAUCAUUCAACAUUACAUUUCCAUGCAUGCCACACAUAACAACAUGUAACAAGAAUCUUUGCAUAAUAAUACAUCACAUGCCACAAUUCAAUUGGCAAUUCAACAUAAUAUUUCAAAUACGUAAUUCAUCACAUUUUACGUUUAAAAAUGUAGAAGUAUCACUUGUAAAAAGCUUGUUCCCGUUCAUAAAUUUUAAAAGAGUCAACAAAGGAUAUUCUAGCAUUUCAUUCAACACAUAUGCAUUUGUUCAAAACUUUUUAAAUGCAAGUUCACUAGCACCAACAAGGUAUUAAUCCAAGUAAGUCCUGAAGUACCAUUAGCACCUAUAUUUGUCAAUAAACCAUAACAACCUCAAUUAUGUCAUAAAUUGAAUCUAAUAAUUCUAAUAAAUUUACACUAGACAAUCUACACUCUAACCUAACAAUUAACCUAAAAUUCUAGUCUAAUUCACAAACCCAUUAGACCAACUAUUCCAAUUUAAAGUUUCUUUACCUGGAUGAGCUUGAAGGUAUACAGAUCAACAGAAACCUAAUAUUUUCAAGAAAAAAAAUUUAAAAAAAUUAGAAAAUAAGAUUUGAAAAUAUAUAUAAACCCAUAAAUUUCAAAAUCCAAGAGUUGAAAAUAUAUACUUUUUGGCUUUAAAACGCAGAUCCGAAGCAAAAAAGCUUAGGUAGUGAUGAAAGUGGAGUAUAAUGGAAAAAAUGAAGAAAAGAAAGAGAGAUCUUUCUUUCUCUCUCCUAGGGUUUAGUUGUGCUGAAAAAAAUGGGGUUGAGAGUUGUGAUUUUGGUGCACAAGGAUGCAAGAAGAGGAAGAAGUAAGAAAAGAAAGGAAAAGAAAAGAAAAUCGAAAAUUUGGAUUUUCAUGGUCAAGAGAAGAAAAUGGCAUUGGGAGGGAGAGGAUGAAGAAGAAAAUGCCUUUUUGGGGAGAUAAGGAUCAGCCAUGGAAAGGGAAAAAAAAGAGUCAAAGCUUCCUUUGGAAGCCUUGACUAAGCUAAUGGAAAAAUUACCAUUUUGCCCUUUAAGUUUCUCCUCUUUUUAUUUUAGUCCUCCCAACGAUCUUUUAAUUCCAAUUUCCUUCUAUUUUUCUUCCUUUACAUGUUUGCAAACAAAAUAUAAAGUUCGCACUUCAACGCAGUAUCACUAUAAUAUUUCAAUAUUUACUUACCUUCUCUAACUCUAUUUAAUAAAGACACGUGGGCACAACUAUCGUCAUUUUUCUUCGAAAUUCUUUCUUAUUUCUUCUCCCCCACUUAGAUUAGUCAUAUAAUCCUCUUUCACGACUAAUUUCGAUAAUAGAUAAAAUAUUAAUAUUUUAAUAUUAUUUUAUUCAUAAAAUAUUAUUUUAUUCUAAAAUUCUCCACUAGCCUUAUAGGGCUCCAAAACAUCUUAUUUUGCCCUGGUUCACUUCUGAAUCACCUUUUAACUCAUUAAUUCAUCCUCAAUAAAAAUAUUAUUAUUUUAUUAUUAUUUCCUCGCAUGUAAGAUAUUUUAUUUUAAAAUAUCUUUUUCACCUGUCUCCACUUUAUGGCACUUAAAUCAGCAUCCAUUGAACCUUUGUCUCAUUGAUAAGGUCAUAUUGACUUCUCUACGUGGGUACGGGGUGUCACACUUUGAUACUGUGUUAACUUUCUAAGUUUAAGAACCAAGAUGAACUAGAGAGAAUUGGAAGGAAGCAGAAAGUUCAAGAGAAGAAUAUGGGCAGUAAAGUGACACAUCUUAUUACUUAAGUAAUUUGAUAUAUGGUUAAUUGUUUAUAUAUAAGAAAGGAACCUUACUAAUAGAAAAUUAACCAUGUUAUGUGAUAACUCUAUGACAUAAAGCUAUUUGGUCUUAAAUUUAAAUAUUAAGUUGCUAGGUUCUUAAGUUUUAGCAUAGAUUUUAGGUUUUUUUAGUUUUUUAUUUAAUUAUAGUUAAUUAUGUUGGGUCAAUUGAAUUUAGAUUAUUUUAGGCGAAGUUUGAUGUUAAAUUGUUUAAGAAAAGCUAAUAUUGAUUAAACUGUGCUUUUGUAAGUGUGCUUUGAAGAAAUACUUUUAAUUGAAAAAAGGAAAGAAAUUAUGAGAUGCAGACUUUCAUUGCACAUGUAUCAAUAUUUUGACCAUAAAUUUCUCUACAAAACUCUAAAUGAGGUGAUUCUUGAACCAUUGGAAAUAUAAGAGAAAAGUCUACAACUUUCAUGCUUAUUAUUUCACUCAAUUUGGCCUGAAAGAUGGUCAAAACCUUGUCGAAGUUCAAGGAUUACAAUAGUCUUGGAAAGAAAAAUUAAAUCAUGAUUUUUUUAAAUUACAUGGUCAAGGUCGCAGCCUUGGUGGGGGUAGGCCAUGGUUCACGUAGUCUAAUGAGGAAUCCUUGUUAGAAUUGACUUCUUUCUUCACCCAACUUGGCCCAACUUCAGAGCCUUAUUAAAGAAACCUUUUAGAGGACUUUGAGGGCAAUGAAAAACACAAGAUUUAGAGCUAAGAUUGAACCACAAAAUCAUUUAAGAAAAGGUUCAUUGGAGCUAAGAAGAAAUUGAAGGAUUCAAGAAGUUUAGAGGUGAAGAUUUCAACUUUUGGAGUUUCUUUAUUCUUUUUGUUAUUAUUUAUUUUUCUUGGUUUGCUUUCAAUGUUUAAACUUUAUUUGAUGAUGAUUUGUGACAUUAUGGGGAAACUAAUUUAGUUAUCUAAGAUUAUGAUUGAACUCAAUGCGUAGCCUGAAUUAUUUAUCUUUUCUUUUCUUAUGUUUGAUGGUUUUAGUUGUUUGUUCUAUUAUGUUCUUAAUGUUUCUAAUUGCAUGAUCCUCAAUUCGAUUGAAUUGGAAACGUAAGUUAAACCUUUAUGAAGGAGAUUUAAGGUAGACCUUGAAUAGAAUAGUGUAUGAUCAAAUGCACUUAUUUGAUUAAGUGGUUUGAUUGGCAUAUAGGGUAGACAAACACCUAUAAGCCAUACAUAGCCAAGAUUAAAGCAUGAACUUAAAGAAUCUUUCUUCAAUUUAAUUUGCAUAGACAUAUAGUAAAAUAAUUGGGAGAGAUAUUUUUUUGAGAAACUCGACAAAGACUCAUAAAUAAUUUAGAACUCUAAGUUAGCAACUUAAUAUGUUAAAGUUAAGAGAAAGAUAUAAUAUUCAGAUGAAGUAUUGAGGGAUAUCAUAUUUUUAGGUUUGGUAGUUGAUUGAGUUUUUAAAACAAAUUUGUUGAUUAAUUUUAGAUUAGUUUUACUUUUAGUUUGUUAGAUUUAAUUUUACUUUUUAAUAAUUUCAAUUUGGUUGUUUGAAUAAGAUUAGUGUGUGUUAAUUUUCAUAGUUAAUAGUAAGAAUUAAUUCAGUUCUCUUUCGAAUCGAGACUUUAAUUUUCACUAUAUUGCUUGUUUAACGAUACAUGCACUUGCGUGGAUAAUCUGACAACAAGGUUUUUGCUCCAUUGCCAAGGAAUUUAUUUUUAAUUCUUUCUUAUUAAUAUUAAUACUAAGUAUUCUUAAUCUUAUGUCAAACUUUUUCUUUAAUUUUCAGGUACUUUUGGUCAUUGUAGCGAAGAACCCAAAAUUUGGAAGUUGUUCUUUUUGAUCCAAAAAUCGAAAAGACUUUUCGAAGACUUCAGAUGAAAAGUCAACAAGUUUCUACUUAAAGUAAAAUAAUGGUUUAUCAACAAGGGGAAGAAACCAAGUUUUUGAGCGAAUAUAUUGUCCCACUAGUACAAAGUACUAGUACAAGGUCUCCACUCUACUAUCCAAAGACCUCCUAUUCAAGUCAACAACUUUGAAAUUAAGCUAGCAAACAUUCAGAUGAUUUAUACUUAUGUUUAGUUUAGGGGUUUCUCUAAUGAUGAUCUUAAUGCUCAUAUUGUGAAUUUCCUAGAAAUUUGCAACACAUUCAAGGCUAAUUGUGUUAUUGAUGAUGCCAUAAAAUUGAGGCUUUUCCUUUUCUCACAAAGAGAUAAAGCAAAAAGCUAGUUAAAUUCACUUCCUACUAGUUCCAUUAGUACUUGGGAUGAUUUGGCUCAAAAAUUCUUAGCAAAAUUCUUUCCCCCUACUAAGAUUGCAAAAAUUUGUAAUGACAUCACCUCUUUUAUGCAAUUUGAUUUUAAAUCACUGUAUGAGGCUUGGAAGAGGUAUAAGGGUUUGCUUAGAUGUUGUCCUUAACAUGGGUUGCUUAAAUGGCUACAAGUUCAAAUGAUUUACAAUGGUUUGUUGGGACCUACUAGAACCACCAUUGAUAUUACAGUCGGAGGUGCACUUAUGAGUACAUCCAUUGAUGAGGCCUAUGAUUUGCUUGAGAAGAUGGCUUCUAAUAAUUACCAGUGGCCAUAAGCAAGAUUGGGUACAAGAAAAGUUGCUGGUAUUUAUGAGCUUGAUGCAAUCCAUGCCUUGACUUCACAAUUGGCUGCUCUCACCAAGAAAAUUUAUAUAUUAAGUGUUAAUGCAAUUCAAAGCCCUUUUAUGACUUGUGAUUUUUGUGGGGAAGGACAUUCCAGUGACCAUUGUCCUAUUUACACUAGAACAACCUAUCAUGUUAAAAAUAAGCAGCCACAAAAUAAUCUUUAUUCCAACACAUAUAUUUUGAGGUGGAGGAUUCAUUUUAAUUUUUCUUGGAACAACAACUGAGCAUCUUCAUCAGCUCCUAAGCCAAAUUUUUCUUCGGGUUUUCCACCACAAGCUAAAGCUCUUAUGCUAGAGAAAAACCCUUCAAUUGAGGAGAUGCUCAUGCAAUUAAUGGUAAAGACUGAUGCUAACAUGACAAAAAGUGAUGCCAUCAUUCAAAGUCAAGUAGCAUUAAAGUGGGCCAACUUGCUUGUGUUCUCAAUAGUAAACCUCAAGGUAUGUUACCUAGUGACACUGAACCAAAUCCAAAAGGAUAAGGUAAGAAACAUUGCAAUGCAAUAACUCUCCAUAGUGGUAAAGAGGUAAGUAAAGAGCUAAGUGGUAAAGAUUUAAAUUAUGAAAUUUCAAUUAAUUCUAUUGAAAAAGAAAUUGAAAAGUUUGCUGAAAAUGAAGUUGUGAUUGAAAAUUCUACUAAAAAUCUAAGGGAAAAUCAUAAUUAAAACCUUUACCAACACCUCCACCACCUUUUCCUCAACGUGUUCAAAAGCAAAAACUUGACAAACAGUUCUAGAGAUUUAUUGAUGUAUUUAAAAAAUUGCAAAUUAAUAUUCCUUUUGUUGAAGCUUUGGAAAGCAUGCUAAGCUAUGUGAAGUUUUUGAAGACAUCUUAACCAAAAAGAUGAAAUUAGAAGAGUUUGAGACAGUUGCACUUACUGAGGAGUGCAUUGGUCUAAUCCAAAAUAAGCUUCCACCAAAGCUUAUUGAUACAAGGAGUUUUUCUAUUCCUUGCAUUAUUGGUAGUUUUAAAUUUUCAAAGCUUAGUGUGAUUUAGGUGCUAGUGUUCCAAUAAUGCCUUUGAAUAUUUUUAAGAAACUUGGACUUAAUGGGAUAUAACCUAUUACAGUUUCUUUGCAAUUAACAAACAGAACAAUUAACUGCCCAGUUGGGAUUAUAAAAGAUGUUUUGGCUAAAGUUGGGCAUAUGCACAUUUCGAUAGACUUCGUUGUGCUUGAGAAGGAAGAUGAUGUUAAAAUUCCAAUUUAUUUUGGGAUGACCAUUCUUCUCUACAACAAGGGCAAUCAUAGAUGUGAAGAAUGGCAAAAUAACUUUCAAAGUUGAAAAGGAGGAAGUAAUUUUAAUUUGUUCAAUGCAACUAAGCAUCCCUAUGUAGAUAAUUACUAUAGAAUGGAUUCAAUUGAUGAGUUGAAUAAAAAGGAACAUGAUGAGAAUUAUCCUCCAACAACAAGUACAACAAGUUUUGUUACUUUCCAAUCCACACUAAAAGCUUUUUCCAUGGAAACGCAAAUCAAUAUGGUUGGUUCUUUUCAAAGUGGUUAAGGUUUGUCCUUAUGGUAUCAUAGAAAUUGCUAGUGAAGCUACUAGAACAUUCAUGGUUAGUGGAAUAAGCCUCAAGCCUUUAUUAUGGUGGUGAAAAAGUGCAAAAGGGGUACCAUAAUCAAGCUAGAGACUAUAAAUAAGUGCUUCCUAAGAGGUAAAUAAAGCUUUCAAAACUCAUAUUUUUGCUUUUUAGUUAUUUUAUUUUAUUUAUUUAUAUUUCUAAAUUAAUCUCUAUUUAUUUUGUUUUAGUAAAAAAAAUAUGCCUCCCCCAAGCAUUGGUGAUAAUGAGGAAGAUGAGGAGGAAGACUGAAGCUUCUUUGGAAUUAUCUAACUACUAGGGGAGUGUUCUUUUACCUUUCCUUUAUUCUUUCUAGUAUUGAAGACAAAGUUCAAUUUAAGUUUGGGAGGGUGAAUUUAUUUUUCUAGCGAUGAACAUUUUGUGGAUAUUUUAGAUUUAAGUUUAAUUAUUUGCAUGCUUUUAGGAUUAGUUUAUCAUUUAUUUAUUUGUUUAUUUAUUUUUUCUUGCUUGAAACUUUAGCAAUCUAAAGUAGAAUUAUAACAAAUUUUUUGAUGAUUUCCUUAUCUAAUGAUGAGAACUUAGUUGACUUGUGUCUUUAACUCUUGGUAAAUAAGGAUAUUGUUUGGUUCAUGCUAAAUUCUUUUGUUUAGUGUCAUUGUUAAGAUGCGAUUUCCACACAUAUUGAGCACUAUAUCUUUUGUUUUGAAUUAUUAUGAAAUUUAAAGAAGGUUUAUAUUGAUGUGAAUUUUAGAUUAUGUCAAGAAUUCUAGAAUUUGUUUGAGUCUUUCUCGAAGUGAAAUUCUAGGCAAUAAGUUAGGGAGAUGAUUUAGGCCAUCUUUAGACCGUUUAAGCCUUUCAAGCUAACCUUAUUAAGUCUUUAUCCCUAGUAUAUCCUGUUCAGCAUAUUUUUCCCUUUUCUUUGUUUAACCAGAAAAUAAUUGAGCCUAGCCUUAAAAUAAAAUGACAAUUUUGCAACCCUUAAAAUAAAAUGACAAUUUUGCAACCCUUACUUCUAAGCAUGCAUAUCAUUUUAGGAAAUGUAUUGAGUUAAAUGUGGAAAAAGGUAGAAAAAGGUGAAGUUGUAGAAAAAAAAUCACCCCACUACCUACAAUACAAUGAAAUAAGUUUAGAGGUGUAAAACUGUGAUAACAGAGAAAAUAAGAAUAAGAUGUUGAACAAAAAAAGAGUUCAGAGUGAAGAAAAGGGUGUAUGUGGAGAAUAAAAUAAAGCUCUAUACAAGUCUUAGAAUGAUUAUGUACUUAGGGUGAAUUGAGCCAAAUUAUUAUCCUUUAUCUUACCUUGACUUAGUGUUCGUCUACAUUAGUGGAGAGAGAGAUGAAAACCAAAUGUAUGGAGUUGUAGUACUAAUUUGAAAUUGUACAUUGACAUAGACUCAUCCAGAUAACUAUGAUGUUCUUUGUAAAAGAUUUCACACACACACGAAAAUCCAUUCGAGAAUGAGCUUGCAUUGGAAUUGAAACAUGAACUUGGAUGAUGCCUAUCCUUUAUCUUAAGCUGGAGAUCUAUAAAUAUACUUUUGAGAAAAUUAUGGGUGGUCAUUGAUUCGGUGCCACUUGUUUCUAAUUAGUUGUUCAUUUAUGUUGCUUUCCUCAUAUAAUACCCCGUACUAUGAUAUGGUGACUAAUAAAAACUUAGUGGAUGCCAAUUGAGGUUAAUUAUGAUGUUUAGAAUUGAUGAAAGAUGAAAGGAAUAGUUUAGGAUAAAAUAUUCUACACACGAGGAAAUAAUAAUAAAAUAAUGAUAUUUUUAUCGAAGAAGAAUUUGUGAGAUAAAAAGUGAUUCGGAAGUCAAUUGAGGCCUAAUAAGGUAUUUUGGGUACCAAGAGGAGACAAGAGGAAAUUUUUGAAAUAAAAUAAUAUUAAAAUAUUAAUAUUUUAUUCAGUGUCAAAAUUUUCCAUGAAAAAGGGGUAUAUGGUCAAUCUAAGUGGGGGAGAAGAAGAAUGAGAGAAUUUUGGAGAAAAAUAACGUUAAUGGGGCCGCGUGUCUUUAUUAAGUAAAGAUAGCGCAAGCAAAUAAAUAUUUUAAAUAUUAUGGGGACACUGCUUUGGAGUACAAACUUCAUACUUUGUUUGUACAUGUGUACAAGAAGAUAAUAGAAGGAAGUUGGAGUUAAAUGAGUGUUGGGAGGACUAAAUUAAAAUGGAAAGAAACAAAAAGGGUAAAACAAUAAUUUUACACAAAGCUUGGUCAAAGCUUCCAAAGGAAGCUUUGACUCUCAUUCUUAUCAGCCCAAAACAGUCCUCAUCUCCUUCAGCAAGAUGUUUCUUCUUCAUUCUUGAAGCUUCCAACACCAUUCUCUCAUUUUCCCAUGGAAACUUAAUUUUCUUUCUUUUUCUUUCCAUUUCCUUUCUCUUCUUGCUUCUUUCCUCUCCUAACUCCUUGUGCACCAAAGUUACAACUUCUAACCCCAAUUUCCAACACACCUAAACCUUAGGAGGAGAAGAAAGAAAAAGAGAGAAAGGAAGAAAAAAGAUUGGUUUUGGUGAUUCAAGCAAGGAACGGUAAGAAUUCUUGUUUUUGGCUUGAGUAGUUUUUGAAAAUGAGUUAGUGACUUAGAGAAAUGUCUUGUGGCAGCAAGGAUUGGCUUGAUUGGAGAAAAAUUGGUAACAUGUAAGCCAAUAAACCCAUGGGUACAUGAAGGACUCAAAGUGGAAAAGGAAAAUGGUAAGCAUAACACUAUGUUUUAAAGCCUACAGUUAGUUGAAUAUUGUGAGGAAUUAUAGUUGUUGAAAGGAUUUAUUUCCCUAAGCUAGUUGAAAAUUAUCAAGAUUGUUUGGCAUGUUGUUUAAAAGAAAUGAAAAAAAAAAUAUUGUGGAUGGAGGAUUGAGAAACAAAGUAUUGAAAGUUAGAUAGAUAACAAUGCAUGUAAACAAGGAAAUAAUCAAGUGAAAGUAAGAAUGAUUGUUGCUGCCAUAUAUGUGGAGUAUGUGUAGAAAUAUAAGAUAAAUUUGGGUGAAAAUUAUUCAGAAAGGUUGAAGUAGACACGUGAUAUUAUAAUUAAGUUACCGGUGAUAUAAUCUAUGGAAUUUCGUAAGCAAUGAUAUAAGUAAUUUUGGUAAAAAUGUAUUAAGAUGUGAGUUAAUUGAAGAUGGUUUCAUGAUAGGAUGAAAAAUAUAAAUUUGAGUAAGGAUUAAUAGAUUGAAGUGCUGCCCGUAUACAUAUGUAAUUAAAUAUAUUGAGUUCGUACUAUUGUUAGAAAGUGCAAAGAUAAGGUUAGAGUACUGUGGUGGCAUGCUGGAGUAAAUAACGAACGAUCGGCCAGUGAAAAUAGUUAGAGACACCUCCGAUCAAAUAGCGAUGUAAUAUCCCACUAUAGUUAGGUGAGUGAACUGCAUUUCAAAAUCAUUUUGGGAAUGUGAUUGCUUUGUACAAAGCAUUUGAAUGAUUUUAUAAAACUUUAUCUUAAAACAAGUGCCUUGGGAACAAGCUUUUGCUAAAUGGUUUUAUAUUGUGAUAUGUGGUUGUUAUUGAUUCAUGCACUAUUUCAUUAUGAUGAUAUAUAUAUAUAUAUAUAUAUAUAUAUGUUGUGCAUGAUAGUUGAUAUUGUGUAUGUUGACUAUAACCGUGUGUGUGCACGAUGUGAGGGGANUGAUGAUAUAUAUAUAUAUAUAUAUAUAUGUUGUGCAUGAUAGUUGAUAUUGUGUAUGUUGACUAUAACCGUGUGUGUGCACGAUGUGAGGGGAUGCACAUGCCGGUGAUGAUGGUGGUGUGGGAGAUGGAUGAUGAUAGUGCCCGUGUGCACGAUGUGGGGGGAUGUACACCAUGGAACUGAUUGUGCACGAUGUGGGGGGAUGCACAUGAUGGCAUCUGCUAUGUGCACGAUGUGGGGGGAUAUACAUGAGCCGGGUGUGAUUAUGCUGAUAUUGGUGUUAUCUAUGCAUUUAUAUAUAUACAUCUAUGUUUAUGAAAUCAAAGUUCAUGAGUAUGGUAUAUGGUUUUGCAUAUGUGAAUCUUGCAUGUUCAACUUUGAAAGUUGCUAAGUAUUGUCAAAUUGGUGUUGAUUGCAACAAGGAAUUUGGCUGUAGCGAAAUGGAUUCUCGCUGCCGCCAGAAACUCUUGGUGGUGGUGCAGUACUGUCACUUUGACAGUGAGUUUGACCACCUUUCGAUCAGAACUAGGCAAAGUUGUAAACAUUAAAGUCGUAGCCCUGCCUCUUAGCUUUGUAAUGACCCAACACGCAUGUCAAUUGGACCCAUGUAGUGGAAGAUAUGCUUGAAAAAAAAGAACCGUAUGCAAGCCAAGAAUGCCUUUUGCUGCAGCGAGAAUGAAACUUUCUGUUUCGCUUAGCAUUUGGCUAGUUUUUGCCAUACUUUCCAUUUCUCCAAUUUCAUGUUGAAUAUGAAUUCUCUAUCGUCACAUGAUUUAGCGACCAAGGGUUCAAUCGAGGGUUUUAAUAAGGACUUAAGCUAAAGUGCAUCGUUUUCAAAUAAGUGCAUUAUGAUUUCAAACUUUUCCUUAUUAUAUUGCUUGUUCCCUUCCUAUGUUUACUCACUGAGUUUAUACUCACGUUUUCAACUUCAUGUUUUCAGAUUCAGUGGUCGUUGAUACGUAGAUUGAGGUGUUCGCGUACCCCCAUCCCUUGGGUAGGUAUCUUGACACUCAGUAGUCAUAUCUCCCCAUCCAGAGUCACUCCGCUGACAGUCAAAGUCUUUGUAUAUGUUUCAUGUGAAUUUGCAAAGAUAUAUUGACAACUAUUUAUGUAUGAUUUGAAUUAUGAUCCUAAUGUGAGCAUUCACUUGGGUUUUAUGAGUUGCGUUGGAGAAAUCGACAUUUGAACACUAUUAAGUACAGAUCUUAAAGAAAUAUGCUAGAUAGAUGGGUUAAUAUACAAGUGCAUAUUGAGAGGCUUGCUUGGGCCUAGUGGGCUAUGCCUAUUGGGUCCUUGUGCCUGUCAUGGCUCGAGAAUUGGGUUGUGACACAUCAGUUAAAUUGCUUUCGCUUUUGGCUAGAUUUUUCUUUUAUGUUUUGCUCGAGGAAUAGUAAAACAUUAAGUUUGGGGUGUGAUAAUUCUAUGAUAUAAAGUUAUUUGAUCUCAAUUUUAGAUAUUAACCUGCUAGUUUUUUAGUUUUAGCAUAGAUUUUAGGUGAUUUUAGUUAUUUAUUUAAUUGUAGCUAAUUAUGUUAGGUCAAUUAAAUUUACAUUAUUUUAGGCUAAGUUAGAUGUCAAAUUACUUAAGAAAAGCUGCUAUUGAUUAAAUUGUGCUUUUGUAGGUGUGCUUUGAAGAAGGACUUUUAAUUAGACGAAGGAAAGAAAUUAUGUGAUGCAAACCUUCAUUACACAUGUCUUGGUAUUUUGACCAUAACUUUCUCUACAGAACUCCAAAUGAGGUGAUUCUUGAACCAUUAGAAAUCUAAGAGAAAACGCUACAACUUUCAUGAUUCGCUUACCCAGUUAGGCCUAGAAGGUGGUAAAAAACCUUUUGAAGUUGAAGCAUUGCAAUAGACUUGGAGAGAAAAAUUAAAUCAUGACUUUUGUAAAUUAAAUGGUUGAAGUUGCAGCCUUGGUGGAGGUAAGUUGUGGCUCACAUAGUCUGAUGAGGAAAUCCUUGUUAGAAUUGACUUCUUUCUUCACCUAACUUGGCCCAACUUAAAAACCUUAUUGAAGAAACCUUUUAGAGGACUUUGAGGGCAACAAAAAACAUAAGAUUCAAAGAUAAGAUUCAGCCACAAAAUCAUUGAAGAAAAGUCUCACUGGAGCUAAGAAGAAAUUGAAGGAUUCAAGAAGAAUUGGAGAUCAAGAUUUCAACCUAUGGAGUUUCUUUAUUCUUUUUGUUAUGCUUUAUUUUUCUUGGUUUGGUUUCAAUGUUUAAUCUUUAUUUGAUGAUGAUUUGUGACAUUAUGGGAAACUAAUUUAGUUAUCUAAGAUUAUGAUUGAAUUUAAUACAUAGUCUGAAUUAUUUAUCUUUCAUUUGCUUAUGUUUGAUGGUUUUAAGUUGUUUAUUCUAUUCUGUUCAUAAUGUUUCUAAUUGUCUAUUCACCAAUUAUAAUUUUUCUUCUAUUCAUUUGAAACUACAUGGCAGAAACCAAUUCCAUUGUUCCAACCAUACCAAACAACCCAACACCACCAAUGAUCAUCCACCAAGACAAUUCUAUGUUUCCUACUCAUAUCACACUGAAUGAAACAAAUUACACAUUAUGGUCUCAACUCAUGGAGAUGCGUAUUGACACUUGCAACAAAGUUGGACAUAUCAUCGGAGCAGCAAAAAACUUGCACUAGGAGUAUAAUACCCCGUACUUUGAUAUGGUGACUAAUAAAGCUUAUGGGAUGCCAAUUGAGGUUAAUUAAAAUGUUUAAAAAUGAUAAAAGAUGAAAGGAAUGGUUUGGGAUAAAAUAUUACACACACGAGGAAAUAAUAAUAAAAUAAUAAUUUUUUUUGGAGAAGAAUUUGCGAGAUAAAAAGUGAUUCGGAAGUCAAUUGAGGCAUAAUAAGGUAUUUUUGGGUACCAAGGGGACAAGAGGAAAUUUUUGGAAUAAAAUAAUAUUUUUUUGAAUAAAAUAAUAUUUUAUUCAUGUGUCAAAAUUUUUCAUGAAGAAGGAGUAUAUGGGGCAACCUAAGUGGGGGAGAAGAAGAAUGAAAAAAUUUCAGAGAAAAAUGACGUUAAUGGGGCCGCGUGUCUUUAUUAAGUAAAAUAAUGCAGGUAAAUAAAUAUUUAAAUAUUAUAGUAUUANNNNNNNNNNNNNNNNNNNNNNNNNNNNNNNNNNNNNNNNNNNNNNNNNNNNNNNNNNNNNNNNNNNNNNNNNNNNNNNNNNNNNNNNNNNNNNNNNNNNNNNNNNNNNNNNNNNNNNNNNNNNNNNNNNNNNNNNNNNNNNNNNNNNNNNNNNNNNNNNNNNNNNNNNNNNNNNNNNNNNNNNNNNNNNNNNNNNNNNNNNNNNNNNNNNNNNNNNNNNNNNNNNNNNNNNNNNNNNNNNNNNNNNNNNNNNNNNNNNNNNNNNNNNNNNNNNNNNNNNNNNNNNNNNNNNNNNNNNNNNNNNNNNNNNNNNNNNNNNNNNNNNNNNNNNNNNNNNNNNNNNNNNNNNNNNNNNNNNNNNNNNNNNNNNNNNNNNNNNNNNNNNNNNNNNNNNNNNNNNNNNNNNNNNNNNNNNNNNNNNNNNNNNNNNNNNNNNNNNNNNNNNNNNNNNNNNNNNNNNNNNNNNNNNNNNNNNNNNNNNNNNNNNNNNNNNNNNNNNNNNNNNNNNNNNNNNNNNNNNNNNNNNNNNNNNNNNNNNNNNNNNNNNNNNNNNNNNNNNNNNNNNNNNNNNNNNNNNNNNNNNNNNNNNNNNNNNNNNNNNNNNNNNNNNNNNNNNNNNNNNNNNNNNNNNNNNNNNNNNNNNNNNNNNNNNNNNNNNNNNNNNNNNNNNNNNNNNNNNNNNNNNNNNNNNNNNNNNNNNNNNNNNNNNNNNNNNNNNNNNNNNNNNNNNNNNNNNNNNNNNNNNNNNNNNNNNNNNNNNNNNNNNNNNNNNNNNNNNNNNNNNNNNNNNNNNNNNNNNNNNNNNNNNNNNNNNNNNNNNNNNNNNNNNNNNNNNNNNNNNNNNNNNNNNNNNNNNNNNNNNNNNNNNNNNNNNNNNNNNNNNNNNNNNNNNNNNNNNNNNNNNNNNNNNNNNNNNNNNNNNNNNNNNNNNNNNNNNNNNNNNNNNNNNNNNNNNNNNNNNNNNNNNNNNNNNNNNNNNNNNNNNNNNNNNNNNNNNNNNNNNNNNNNNNNNNNNNNNNNNNNNNNNNNNNNNNNNNNNNNNNNNNNNNNNNNNNNNNNNNNNNNNNNNNNNNNNNNNNNNNNNNNNNNNNNNNNNNNNNNNNNNNNNNNNNNNNNNNNNNNNNNNNNNNNNNNNNNNNNNNNNNNNNNNNNNNNNNNNNNNNNNNNNNNNNNNNNNNNNNNNNNNNNNNNNNNNNNNNNNNNNNNNNNNNNNNNNNNNNNNNNNNNNNNNNNNNNNNNNNNNNNNNNNNNNNNNNNNNNNNNNNNNNNNNNNNNNNNNNNNNNNNNUUGAUGAAAUGUUUUGAUAUUAUGAGAUAUGAACAUGAUGAAUUCAUGAGUUUCUACAUUAUGUUGAUGUGUAUAUUAUACAUUAAAUGAUAUUUUUGUGUGAUAAUUAUGACCCAGCCAUGUGCGGUGUAGGAGUGCACAUGAGCUGUGCUGACCUAGCCAUGUCUGGUGUAGGAGUGCACAUGAGCUGUGCUAACCCAGCCAUGUGCGGUGUAUGAGUGCACAUAAGUUGUGCUGACCCGGCUAUGUGCGGUGUGGUAGUGCACAUAAGCUGAGAUAGAGUUGGGGGCGAGGUCGGUGGUUAUAUAUAUAUUUAUAUAUGGUAUAAUAUAUAUAUAUAUUUAUAUAUUGAUAUAUAGAGGUUUUGAAAAUUAUAUUGUGGUUGCAUUAAUUUUUGAAUGUUAAAACUUGAGAAACAGUUUCCACUUGAUUUUCACCGCAGCAAAGACAGAUUUCCGUUGUGACAAGAAAUUGAGUUGAAUUGCAUUGUCUUCAACAUAAAUGCAUCAUGAUUUCUAAAACCUUCCGUAUUGAUGCUUGUUCCCUUCCUAUGUUCACUCACUGAGUUUAUACUCAUGUUUUUUAAAAUUCAUGUUUUAGGUUUCCUGAGUUAAAGGUGAUUGGAUCCUAGGACGAGGUGUUCCUCCCUGUACAUUGCUCGAUAGGUUUAAUGUGACACUAAGUGUUACCAAUCGUGCCUAGAGUCACUCCGCUGACGGUCAAGGUCUAAUUAUGUGUAUGUGAAUAUUUAAUGUGAACACUAAGAAUCAUUGUUAAUCUAUUAAUGAAUAUAUUGGUGGAUGAUGCCAUUAUGAAUGUAUGAUUGGGUUUUAUGAAUCAUUUUCAAAGAAACGGUAUUUGAACAUUUCGAGCUUUGGAUUCUAAAGGAAUAGGGAUUAAUGUAUAAAAUCGAUUAAGUAGGCUUGCUUGGGCUUAGUAGGUUGAGCCCAUUGGGCCCUUGCGCCGGUCAUGGCCUGAAAAUUGGGCUGUGACAAGGAGAUCUUAAUCUUAAAACAUGGAUUACUGAAGAUCACAAAGUGAAAAGCUGGCUUAUUGACUCAAUCAGUCUAUUGCUGAUGCAGCGAUUUAUUUGUCUUCCCACAACCAAGGAAAUAUUGGAAAUUAUAUAAGAAACCUUUUAUGAUUGAUUAGACAAGACAUGUAUUUUUGAAUUGAAUCAAAGAUCUUUCUCUACCAAACAAAUGGGUCAACCAUUAUGAACAUACUAUAAUGAACUUUUGGCUAUUUUUCAGGAUAUUUAUCACAUGAUUAUAUCGCAAGAAGGAACAGUUGAAGGUGUAGCUCACUUGAACUCUAUAAUGGCUAGGCUUUGAGUCCAUAUUUUUCUAUGUGGACUUGAUUCUAAAUUGGAUCAAGUCCAUGGAGAAAUCUUAUGAAAACAUUCAAAACUUCAAUUAGAAAGCACGUAUGCAUAUGUCAAGAAAGAAUAUCAAUAAAGUCAAGCGAUGGGAGGUUCUUAUCCAAAUCUUGAGAGCAUGGCUAUGAAGGCCAAUUGAACUUAGCAAAGACCAUCGUCCAGCUCCUCAAAGAACUGAAGCAAUCAAUAAAAAAAAUUUGAUAGUUUGAUAUGUACUCAUUGUGGUGAGUAGACCAAACCACUAUAAAUUGUUGAGCAUUGUCCACUUUCCUUCAUUUCGUUGUUCUACUUCUCUUAAUUUACUAUUCUAACGAGAUUCAAGCUUCUCUUAUCAACUUCCUUUCACAAGCCCUUAACUAGGAACCAAUUUUUGUGACAUUCGAAAAGUGCUAUUCACUCCCCUCAAGCACACUUUUUGGUACCAAAAAAAUGGAAUUUCUAAGUAUUUAACUUAUUGAAUUGAAAAUUAAUCAGUAAAAAUAUUUAAUCUUACUUCAAUAACAUUUUCUCGGGCUCAAAUUAGCUCUAAAUAUCUCCAAAAAUCUGUUUAGGGCUUAGGGUUUUAAAUGGGUAAAAAGAGAGGGAAAGUUAGGGUUUUAUUUAAAAUGGGUAAAAUGGCUCGAACCCUUUUUAUUUUUACCUUUCCUUAGUGAUGUACCGAUACAUUUAGGAAUAUAUCGAUACAUUUUCAUGGGUUUUAGCCAAAUUUAUCGAUACAUAAGGGUACUGUAUCGAUAGAUUUCAAGCAGAAUGCUAAUGUCUAAAAAUGUAUUGAUACAUGGGAGAAUGUUUUGAUAAUUUUUCCCUUGGGGUGCCCUUUGGAUGCUCUCUGCUUCAAAUCUAUCAAUACAUUUGGACAAUGUAUCGAUAGAUGUUCAUCCUACCAUGAAUGUAUUGAUACAUUGGGGAAUGUAUCAAUAUAUUUUCCCUUAUAUGCCUUAUGUAGUUCAUUCUGCUAAGAAUGUAUCGAUACAUUUGAGAAUGUAUUAAUACAUUUUUCCCUUGUAAGCAGUUUUUAGCUUUCUAAACUCCCAAAUAUCUGAAAUUAAUACCCCAAAAUCAUUUUGUAUUGGUAUCACACUUCAAAUAAUUCAUAUAACUCAAAUUCGUAUAUUUAUAUGUGUGUGUGUGUGUGUAUAUAUCCUCAAACAUAACAUCAUAUACAAAUCAAAACCUCAAACUAUGGAAUUUAUCACAUAUUUCCAUAAAAUUUUGCCUAAGUGUUAAUACACAUACUCCCAUACACUAGGCAUACUUAACAUAUUAUCAAAGUCCUCAAGAUUCAAUAUAUUUCAUAUAUCAAUCUUAGUUAACGUAGUUUACACCAAAAAUUGGGGGUGUUACACACAUCAAGUAGGUUUAGAUUUAGUUGACUAUUAUAAAUAGCUCUCUAUGUAGUCCUUUAUUUUUCAUCAAGCAAUUUAAUUCUUCGCUUAUAUCUUAGCUAUUUUCUACACAUACUCUUCAUGUUUCAUGGUUAGUAUUGUUAGCAAAAAAAAAGAAAAAUGAAUUUUGAAAGAGACUAGAUUAUUAUUUUUAUUUUGAAUGAGAAAGACUAAGUUUUGAAACCAAACAAGUCUUAGUAUCAUUACUAAUGAGAUAACACAUGACAUGAUAUUAUAAAACACAGAAAAAUGGGCACCCAUUUAAGGCAAGGGAUUUUCAUUCAUUCUUUGGUAGGUUUCACUGUUUAUUAUAAUAGUUAGUUAAAUUAGUCACGUAGAAUGUUGAUUUUUUAAUUUAUCAUUUCAAGAGUAUUUUUUUAAAAGGUAAACUAUAUUAACAUUUUCAAAAUUUACCUAUAAUUUCACACGAGUCUAUUAGCUUUCAAAAUGUACAUUUUGCUCCAAAUGUGUAAAUGGCGUUAAUGAUAAAUGUGAAAUGUCUAAAAUACCUUUCAUAUUUCUUCACUCUUUUUCAACAUUUUUCUUUUUCACAAACCAGUUAGCGGCACUCCUUUAUGUUGGUUGGUCAUCUCGUGACUGGAUUUAGCUAUGUAAUGCUUGUUGGUCCUUAUAAUAUGUGCUAGAGGGGGGGUGAAUAGCACAAUUUAGCUCUUAACAAUAUUGAAAACUAAUUUCCAGAACUUAAGAAAAUAAAAACAAAGUACAAGAUGCACAGUAAUUUAGAGUGGUUCGGUCCAAGACCUACAUCCACUACCUUGAUUAUCCAACCAAGGAUUUUCCCAACAAAUCCACUAAGAUUCGGUGAAAUUCACAAGCUUACACCAAGCUUUACAAUGGCUUCUCAAGGCUCAGCCAAAACCUUUUACACUAGUUUUUCACAGGCUCAACUAAAACCCAGAGUGGUUUUACAAGGCUCAACCACAACCUACAACAAUCAAGCUAUCCCAAGCUUGAAUAACCCCUUAGAGUGACUUACUCACUCUAAGAAUACAAGAAGAGUAGUAAAAAAAAGUACCUAUGAUCACUGGUUGAUCUAAUUGGUACAAGAUUGAGUGCAAAAUACAAAUGCAAAGAGUAGGCGUUUAAGUGCAGACAAGUGUAGUGAAGAUUUUCUGGUUUUUCAACUUUCUAUAGCUCAAAUCUCAUUCAAGGCUUCUAAAAACUUGUUUCUAAUUGUUGGAAGACCCUUUUAUACUUGGAGAAGCAACUCUAAUGGGAGUUUGGCAGUUUUAUGUCUGUUGGAAACAGUUGAUGAUGAGUUCUAGCCGUUAAUCUGUCUUGUAGUACUCUGGUUCAAAUUACAAACAAAGAGCUCUUCGUCGACUAACUUGGUUGACUAAGUUGAUUCUAUUUCAGGUUACAGAUUCUGGCAAAGAGCAGUUAGUUGACUGACUUGAUCGACUAAGUUGAUUCUGUUUCUCAAACACUUCAGCCCACCAUUCCUCCAAUUUGAAACUUGGUCAACCAACAUUCUUCCUUGUUUCACCAAUAAGCUUCCUCCUUGUUAGACAGUUGCAUCUUGUUAUUUUUAUCCCUAUUUUUCUUUUGAUAUACUCUUUGAAGAGUUAAUUAAUUAAUUUUAUAUAUUGAUUUUUCUGCACACUUAAGUAAAGGUAUUAGACACAAAUAAAUGGGAAUGUUUUAUUAUCAUCAAAAACUAAUGGAGCCAACAAUGCUAGAUCUGGUGGCUCCACCCUCCCCUCCCUGCCCGGCACCGAGCCUCGCUUUUGACUAGCAUAGAGUAUUGAUCUUUUGCAUAUACAUGGUUAGAUGGCUUUUAGGAUGGCUCAGUCCAUCAUACUUGUAGAAUUACAAAGUCUUCAAUUUGGGAGGCAUAAGCACAUCGGGUACUAGGCAAAGAUAUGUGACUUCAAUGGGUCCAUAUGCAUCGGUUUUUUCAAUCGUUUUAAGCUUUUCCUCCAAACUUUCCAGCUUUUGUAGGGCGUUGCUCCCCUAAAGAGCAUGGGGGGAGGGAGAUUCGACCAGAGCCAGAUCUGGCGCUACCCAACCGUAGUCGAAUUUGGCACUCUGACCACAAGUAGAGGUAGGAGAGAGAUUUUUUUUUUUUGAAUAGGAGAAAACAAAUUAAAAAUGAAAAAUUAUUAUCUAUAUAGUAUGGUAAUUUUUAAAAUUAAUGAAGGGUAAAAUUAUUUGAAAGAUAUUACCACAUCAUUAAAUUAAUGAAAACAUUAACGAUUAACUAACAAUUGAAUUUAUGUAUCUAGCAGAAUAUAUAUUCUUUUGGACGGACUAUAUAUUUCAGAAAUUAACGGACUCAUAUAAAAUUAUGGACAAAACUUUAAGGUGCUAGUGUAUUUUACCCUUUUUAAAAUUAUUGUACUAUAAUUAAUUAUCGUAAUCAUAAAUUAUGUAAGAUCUAUUAAAAUAUUAUAUAAAACUCACAUUUAUAUAUAAUAGAUUUUUACAUAAUUGUAUAAUUAUAGAAUUAUAGUAGAAAAAGUUUGCAGGUGAAAUGUUGUAUUUCGAGUCAUCUAUCCAAAUUCCAUGGACCUGAUCAUUCAGUUAACCAUUUUGGAGGAGCUACAUCCAUCACUUUGGCUGUAAUCAUCUUACCAAACUCAGCAAGGUUCUCAGUGUCCGGCAUAACAUCCUUCACAGUAGCAUCACAGCAAAACCUGUGAGCCCAGUUAAAGAGAGCAGGAGCCUUGGCUACACUAAGUAGCUUGAUCCCGUUCAUCUUUUCCGCGACUCCUAGCCAGGGCAAAUAGCACCCAAAUGCAAUGAAGCGAAAAAAAUAAAACUGUAGACUCAAAGAUACAAGGAAGUUAAAAAAAUAUAAUUAACCCCUAUAAAGAUAGGCCUAAAAUUGGGAAUUUCCAAGCCUAAAAUAAAGCCUUUUAAUGAAAAAGACUUCAGUAAAAUCCCUUAUCUCUUAUCAAAGUCCCAAAACCAUCCACCACAACCAAAACCCUAACAAAACCUUAAAAAAAGUCUUGUCUGAACUUUAGCCACCAGCCACGUUAAAGUGAAGCAGAUAGGCACAAUCUCAUCCAAGUGAAAUAUUAACCAAAUACACAGCAAUUAAAAGUUCCAUAGUACCAUCCAAAAAUUAAUAACAGCGACAACGUGUACAAUUAUACUACAGCAGCAAACCAAAUGCUCCAAGAGUUGUAAUUCUAUCCAAACGGGAUAAAAUCCCAUAUUAAUCAAAACUCUAUCCCACCCAAAUCUCCUCAGUUCAAUCAUCACAUCAACCAGUAAGAUAGAUUCAAUAUAAAAUAUAACUUAUAUUAAAUCCCAUACAAACUUAUCUACUAACAUGAGAGAUAUAUAAAUGUACCAAUCACCUUAUUUUGCAGUCCCAAAAAAUUGCACUAGUGCCUCUCUCCUUCCAACUCUUUCUUUAGCUAAUAAAUCAGCAUCACCAUUAGCUUCUCUGAGAACAUGAGUAACUUUCCAACUUUUAAUAACCUUCUGAAGACAGCUUAUUUGAAUCAUAUGUUGUCGGCACUGCCAUGGUGCCAUUGAAGGAUUAUUUAGCCACACCACCGCAUUUCUUGAGUCAUUUUCUACCCAUAGAUGUACUUGUGAAUUUCUUAAGAACUUAAUGAACAAGGUAAAUGCUUCUUAAUGGCUAACACUUCAGCAAUGUUUGCAUCACAGACCCUCACAAAUUUUGAAAAUCUAACAAUGACGUCACCCUUAAAGUUUCUCAAAAUACCCCCUAUUCUCGUAUCACCCAGAUUUCCUACCAACGCACCAUCCACGUUAAACUUUAUCCAACACAACACCGGUGCCUCCCACAUCAAGCACACCCUAUCCUGCUUUAUCCUUGUAGGAAUGGAAACAAGAUUUGGAUUUCUGAAUAUAUCUUCCUGUGUCUCUACCAAUUCUGGCUACUUAGCUUUACUGUAAACUGCUAUCCAUAAUUUAAUCAAAUUGUACAAUUGCUUCACAUCUCAGCUUUUUCCAUUAAAAAUAAUAUCAUUCCCGGAUAACCAAAUUGACCAAGAUAUUUCAUAGAAGGCUCGUGUCCAAAUUUUCAAACCAUCCUUGUUGAGACACACUAAAAUCCAAGCUAGAAAAAUUUUUUGAGCGUUAAAAGGAGAGACCCAACUAAUGUUCCAAUCUGAUAACCAUAAACUCCAUACAAACCAUGACUCUUCACAAGAAAAAAACAAGUGAUUUAUCAUUUCUGAAUGUCUUCUACAUAACACGCACAACAUUUGAUCUUCUCCAAUUAAAUUUCUUUUAACUAGCUCAGAUUUCACUGCUACUUUUUCCCACAUCAAUUGCCAUACAAAAGCCUUGACUCUAUACGAUGUAUAGCCUAACCAAAUCUUUUUCCAUAGAUCAGUAUCAACAGAAUAAGACAUUCUAGCAAUUCCACAAAAUGACUUAGCAAAAUACAUACCGUUGGGAUUAGCUUUCCAAACAACUCCAUCACUAAUUCCUUCCCUCAGAGUAAAUCUCUCAAGUAACUCCACAAUCGUGUCCAUUGCGCAUAUGCCCACCCAAAAAGCUACCUUCUGAGUUCAAUCUGCCAUUGCCACCCAUCAUUUGUUCAUUGGCCAAACUCAUAGAGUCUACCAUCUUUAUUUUGAGACAAUGCAUAAAGUCUAGGAAAUUCCAAUUUCAAGACAACAUCCUCCACUCAUGCAUCAUGCCAAAAAAGAAUUCAUUUUCCAUCACCUACCGACACUCCUAAAUUAGCUGUAACCUGCAAGAAGAAUUUAUCAAUAGUAAUUAAAGGAGACAUGAUAUGUUUCCAUACCUUAGAGCAAUUACGAGUCGUAGCAUCUCUAGGCAACAAGGCAUUCGGAUCAUAUUCAUUCUUUGUUGCCACGAUUCUCCUUCAUAGAACCUCCCUUUCAAUCCCAUACCUCCAUAGCUAUUUGGACAAGAGACUUUUGUUUUUGAUUUCAAGAUCAACUAGUCCUAAACCCCCCUUAUCCCUCUCUUGGCAAACAUUCUCCCAUUUAAUAAAGUGCACCCCUCUGUUGUGACUAGGCCUCCUUCCAAAGAAAAUUGAAGUUUGUGAAGCUCAUCUUGAAUUUCGCAUGGAAUUUGACACAAAGACAUAGAGUAAAUGGGCAAACUACUAAUCAUUAAUUUUAAGAGAGUUACUCUACCUCCACCUGAUAAUAAUUAAGCUUUUCACCAUUCUAGCUUAUCCUCCACUCUAUCCACAAAAAGGUUCCAAAUCUUCAAUGUUGCCACAUUUAAUCCCAAUGGCAGCCCCAGAUAUGAUGUAAGUAGAUGACCCACUUUAUAAUGAAUUCUAGAACCCCAUGACUCCAUAAUCUCCUUCUGAACGGCAACACCAAAUAAACAGCUUUUCAUAAAAUUAAUCUUAAGUCCAAACAUAAGCUGAAAACUUUUUAUUACUCGCCUCAUAUUCAACAACUCUUGAAGAUUCGGUUUACAAAAAAGCAAGGCAUCGUGGGCAAAUUGCAAAUGUGUCAGGUGGAACCCUUUAUUACCAAUCGACAUACCUUUGCAAAUGUCAAUAUCUUGAGCUUUUCUCAUCAAGCAACUAAAGACUUCCACAACCAGAUUGAAUAAAAACAGAGACAGAGAACAACCUUAACGCAACCCUCUUUGCAAUUUAAUUGGUUUUGUAAGGGAUCAAUUUACAAGGACAAAAACUAAGGCAGAUUUCACAUAACUCAUAACCCAUCUACACCAUUUUGCACCAAAUCCCAUUUUCUCCAAAGUGAACUCCAAAAGCUCCUAACAAACACUAUCAUAAGCCUCUUCAAAAUCUACCUUCAACAAUAAACCCCCCUCAUGGUUUUGAUUCAUAAUAUCUACCAACUCAUUAGCAAUUAGUGCAAAAUCUAAAAGAAAAAAUUGUGAGAAAUAACCUUCCUCAUAAGCCCAAUUCAAAAAUAUCAUUUUUUUUAAUUUUAACUAUUUUUUGUCAAUUUUUGACAUGACUUGACAAUAAUACCCUUUAAACAAUUUCAGACAAAUUAAAAUGGUUUCAGUUUUCUCUCCCGCCAUCCAGAUAAAAUUUCAAAAUUAAAUUUUGAUUUCUCUCUCUGCUCAAAUAUAUCUAUCUAACCAUCCAAUUCACAAAGAUGACAUCAAGCUCUUUCUUAUUUUGUUUUAUUUUUUUAUGUGGUGGAUCUUGGAGUUCUUAAGGGCGAUGAACAGCAAUUUUACUUUUUGCAAGUAGCAAUUUUACUCAGGGAGAAAGAACAGCUAAAGCAUGUUUGAUGGGUUUUAUGAUGGUUCACGAUUUUGUUGUGUUUGGGAUUAGGAUGAUUGUUAAGCAUAUUUGCUAGGGAUUUUGAUUUUUUUUAUGGGAUUUUGAGUUGAAAUUGUUCAGGAAAUAUUUUGUAAAUAGGGUAUAUUUUGUUUUUAUAUAGGGGGAGUGAGCAAGGCCUCCCGAUAGGGAUAUAUUUUCUCUUGCUUUUGAGGGUUAUGGAGUUUUGUAACCUAUCUUUUAUGAAAUGCACAAUUUCAUGACUUAGCAAAAAAAAAUAUAUGUGUUUUAGAUUCUUGAGUUUAUUGAUUUAUUCAUAAAAUCCCAAAAUUGAGAAGUUGAAAUUGAUUAGACUGAUUUUUAAGUAUUAUGAGAUUGAUUUUUAGGUAUUGCGUGAUUUAAUCACUCUGUGACUAGUUUUUAGGCAUUAUGUGAUUGAUUUUAGGCAUUACGUGAUUGAUUUUUAAACAUUGCGUGACUGAUUUUUAAGCAAUACCUAAGUCACGCAAUGCCUUACUAGCUAGUCACGCAAUGCCUUACUAACAAGUUAUACAAUGCCUUACUAACAAGUCACACAAUGCCUAUCAACUAGUCACGCAAUGCCUUAUCAGAAACUAAUCACACAAUGUCUUAUCAAAAACUACUCACGCAAUGCUCAAAAUCAGUCAUGCAAUGCCUUAUCAGAAACUAGUCACGUAAUGCCUUAUCAAAAACUAGUCAUGCAAUGCCCAAAGUCAGUCACAUAAUAUCCAAAGUCAGUCACGCAAUGCCUAAAAACUAGUCACGUAAUUCCCAAAAAUCACCAAAACUACUGAAUUCCAUUUAACAAGAUCAACAACUUCAAACGAUACACUAUAUUCCAUUUAACAACAUAAUUAAUAAAUAUGAAUGCUCAAAAUGUUCAAAAGUUUUUCUUCAUAUAUCAAAAAUCACUCUAAAAUGCUUAAAAAUGCUCAAAACGCUCACAGAUUUUCUUCGUGUAUCAAAAACUAUUCCAAAAAUGCUCAAAAUGCUUAAACGUUUUUCUUUCUAGUAAGGAAUACUCUAAAGAUGAAUAGUCUGGUGAGAAAAGCCUAAAAAAUAUGAGUUAGUUUGAGGCGCAAACCUAAACAUACUUGACCCGUUAAUAGGUUUCGGAUUGAGACGUGGAGCCAAAUAAAUGGGUCAAUUUCAUUAAGAGUAAUUUUAUCCAAAUUUUAAUUCUCUUGGCUAAAAACAGUUAAAAUUAUGAAAAAAUUUAUUGUCAAAAACACAUUAUGCAUGUAGCCCAUUUUACAAAAAAAAAACUCAAUCUAAAAUUUGUCUCCUAGAUAUGAAUGCAAAUUAAUGUUCUCUUAUCACCUCCCAACAACCUUUCUCAACCGAAUGGCCAGAAGUUUCGCAAUUAAUUUAUUAAUACCUCCCACCAAACUAUUGGAUUUAUAAUCUCCAAUUGAACUAGGGUUCCUUUUUUUAGGAAUCAACGUAAUAAAGCUCUCAUUCAUCCCAUAUCCUAAACAUUUAAUGUUAUAGAAAUUUUGAAUAAAAAAAUACAUAUUAUGAUUUUUAUCUUUUAAAAAAUAUUUAAAUAUAUCAAAAUAUCAUAUUAAAUGAUAUUAUUUAAAAAAUAAUCUUCUUUGAAAUUAAACAAAAUGUUAAUGUUAGUACGUUAAAUAUUCGUUAACAAAAUUUGACAAUAGCAAAUAGGUGUACCGCAGCUGUACAUUUAUAAAGAGUGGGAGAAAGUUGUUGACAUUGUGGUAGUUGGUAGUAGCUGGACACGACAGCCUGGGAAAAUCUGUGGCUCAAACUUAGACACGAAUUUCAAAUCAAUUUAAUUUCCUUCCUAAUUUGACCGAAACUUCUUCAACGUAAGAUACUAGUACAAGUUAUUGUAUAGAUGUGGUAGCAAAAAAUGGCUUUUAGCUAAAUUGAGAAAAAAGAAUUUUAGUUUCACUAGUAGAGAAUCAAAAUCCAAAUCAAUUUAAUUUCAAGGAUCAAACCUUGUUCAAUGUAAGAUAUUAGUACAGGUAUUGCAAAAACAAAAAAAAAAACUUUCAAUUGCACCAGUGGAGAAUCGGGAUUGACCAAGUUUCUUCAAUUUAAGAUACUAGUACAAGGUACUACCGGGAAUUGAUCAGGGAUUAUAUGGUGGCAAGGUUUUAUUCUACCACUAGUCCAUUGACGCCCCUUUUGUGAGGUUUGAGCUAUUUCUAUAAUUUUUUUUACAUCAAAAUUUAAGCUAAUUAAAUUAAUUUAAAAUUAUAUUAUACAUCUUAAUAAGAAUAAUGUACCAUAAUCAAAUAUUUCAUUCAAUAAUAAAAACAUCUCUCUUUAAAAAGAUUAAAAAAAAAGUGAAUAUUAGUAUAUUCCUUGAUAAGCAAAACAUUUUUGCUCUUCAAGAUUAUUAGUAUUAUCAUCAAAUGAUCCAGACAGGGUCCAAAAUUUUGUUUUUCCCUUGAAAUAAAAAUAAAAAUUAUUUUAUUAAUAUACCUUCAAUACCAUAGUAGUAAGGAGAACGUAGGAAUAUUUUCCAAACUUUUGCAUCUCCAUAAAUCAAGUGAAACAUCCUAUUAAUCACUUUGGAAUAGCCCUCGCUUUCAAGAUCUUCGCUCUAAGCUUUACACCAAACUCUGCAAGCUUGUCAGCCUCAGGCAUAACAUCCUUCACAGCCACAUGAGAGGAGAACCUAUGAGCCCACUCGAGCAAGCAACGUGUCUUGGCUUCAGUAAGCAGCUUCAUCUCACUAAUCUUCUCUAUGACUUUUAACCAGACCAAGAAUGACCCGAGUGCAAUGUCCAGGUACCCGAUUUGGUCCCCACCAAAGAAAGGUUUACCUUGGCUCAACUUUCCAAAUACUUCCUCCAACAGCACCAGCCCUUCUUCCACUUGCGCUAUGGCUGCCUUUUUAGCAUCCUCCGAUUCAGCAGCCAACACUCCUCUCAAGGCAGGGAACCACUAUACCACGGAAAAACAAGAAAAAAGAAACAACUAUGAGAAUCUUUUCAAUCAAAAACGCCAAGGUGAGACAUAAUAAACUGUAGUCAACAACGGUAGGAUCAUUCAUAUGAAGAAAUACAAACCUUUUCGUCAAUAUAGGCAGCCCAAAAUCGAGAAUUGGCACGUUCAUAAGGAUCGGAAGGAAGAAUGGAAGGGCCAGAGGACCAGACCUCAUCGAUGUAUUGGACAAUGAUGAGAGACUCACAGAUCGGCUUGUCACCAUGUAAGAGAACUGGGACUUUCUUGAAAACAGGGUUUGAUUUGAGUAGUAGCUCGCUUUUGGAUUCCAAUAGAUUUUCCUCGAUGUACUCGUAGUUUACAGAUUUCAGGUGAAGGGCAAUUCUUGGCCGCAGCACAAACGGGCUUGGCCAUGAACCCAACACUUUCACGUCACUCAAUGCCAUGUUCUUUCCCUUCGCACCCACAAACAAACCGCCAAGAAUAUGUUAUAUCCCCUGCGCACACAAGUGCUAUAUAUAAAGUGACCUAUUUGAGAGUUGGUCUGAUGAUCAAGCGCAAGUGUGAACAUGAGCUUUCUUUUCUGUAUUCAAUCCUAGCCUUUAAUGACAAUGAAUAAUGUUUUUUGAUUUUUCUUUUACAAAAAGAAGAGGAAAGAAAAUUCAAACUCUUUGAAUCCACAAAAUAUACAGCGCAUGUCAUUGAACCAAAUAUUAAAAUACAAUAACGUUUUCAUAUUUAACAUAUUGAUCUAUAGUAAAUCCAUUUAUUUUAAAGGUAUUAUAUGAAAAUAUUUUACCAUCACAUAGAGAGUGCCAAUAACUUUUGCCAAUAGCUUUCAACUUAGUUAAAGAAAGUGGGCUAUUGCAAUAAAUUGGCCAGACUGUGUAAAGGACAGGCUGUAUGGCUAAUUAGGACUUUUGAUCCCUGUGAGUUAAUACGUGAUGAAGAAAUAUCAUGAAUGUUAAAUAAGGUAGUUGACCCGCUCGCAUUAUAUGAUUUUCAAUUUUUCAGCAAUAUAGGCAGCCCCAAAUUGCAACACUGUUUGGUCUACAAUCCACAUUUGGCCAAGAAAGAAGUAAAGGUUCAAGCCUAUAGACUUCUUCUUUUACAAUGACAAUUAAUGGAAACUAGGAUCGACAACAAUUCUUCCAUUUACCCGUGGCUGCUUAUACUUCAUUUCCUCAAUGAUAUUGGAUUCAAGCAAAUUUCAACAUCAGUGCUGCCCUAGUUUGGGGUUAAAACAACCCAUUUGCGACUAAAUUUUUACUAUCAAAAAUUAAAAUUCUUUCACACCAAGUGUGUCCUUGGCAUAAAAACCAAACUUUUGUAAGAUUAACUUCUUUGUAAUGUUUAGUAAAGACUUGGAGUCUUUUAUAUAAUUUGAUAGAAGACGAUGGUAUUUCUUGAUCUUCAUGUCAAUAAUUUUUUUUAAUUAUUUGCCUGAUGAAAAUAGGUUUUAUUGAUUUUUUUUUCAUUGAUUGUAGGAUCACAUUUUUUUAUUUUUCUUUUUUUAAAAACAAAAGAAACCAGCAUUGCGUAAUCAAGAAUGUCAUCCGCCAAGACAGAAUAAGAUUGUACAAGUACAACUAGUCAAAGUCAAAUUGUUGAAAAUUGGAAGCCAUCAGGUAGUUGCUGACCAAUGUUUAUAUACGUUGAUAAUAAUGCGAUGCUCUUCCCAUCAGGGAUCGCCUUCAACAAAGCACCCUUUCGUUUUUUCUUUGUUUUCUUAGGAUAGAUUUGAACUCAAACUCUGUGUUUCAUAAGACUAGAAUUUCAAACUUUUAAUGAAUCUCGCUUAUUUUUCAAUUACUUGUCUAAAUCUUUUAACAAUUUUAUUUACAUAAGGACAAGGGUGUCGAUAUUUACAAUUUUCAAUCUUAAAACGUUUUUUCUUAAUUAAAGUAAAAUAUUGAUUAGAUUUGUUUACAGAUCCAGAUUUUAUAGAUGGCAAAUGAGUUUGGUCCGACUCCAUCUAGGUAUAAUUUUUAAAUUGUUUUACUUUUUUUCUAUUUUCUCUUUCUUUUCCUUCCUCUUACUUCUCGCUCAUAUCGAAAAGUAUAAUGGUUCUUGAUUUAAAAAUUAAAUUGAAAGAACAACUAUAAAAGAAAGAUAAUAACAAUAAAGAAAAUAUUUAGAGAGAGUAUAAAGAUCUUAUUGAAGUAAGUAUUUUACAAAUAAAGUGAGGAGCCUAUUUAUAGACUAACAACUAUAAUUGUCAAAAUGGGUUUAGCCCAUUAAGUCAGCUCAUUUUUUAUUAAAUAUGAGGUGAGUUAGGUUUGAAAAUUUAGGUCCAUAUUUAAACAGGACCUAAAUGGGCCAGCCCACCAAAUUAGUGUGUUGGGGUGGGCUAGGGCGAGCUAGCCCUAUGGGCCAAAAAAAUUAAUAAUUUUACAUAUUUAACUAUAUAAAAUUAAUAAUUUAGUUACAAAUAAUGUUACUUAUUUUAUAUAUUUCAAUGUGUUUAAUUUUUACUUAUCAAAUUAAUAAUUUUAAUUUAUGAAUUAAAUCAUAAAAUAAUUUUAUUAAUAGAAAAUUUAUUAAGUAAAAUUAUAAAAAUGAUUUUUUUUUUUUUUGCAAAACAAGGAAAUGGGCUGGCUUAACCCAGCCCAUGGGCUAGCAAAGGGUGGACUGGAUUGAGGUUUUGAUGGCUUAUAUAAAAAAUAGGCUGGCCUGGCCCAACUUAUAUUUUUUUAGCCCACAAGUGCUUGGGUUGGGUUGGGCUGGGCCAAGCCAGCCCAUAUUGACAACUCUACUAACAACCCUUUAAAUCAAAAUCUAAUCUAAUUCAAACUAAGAGUUCAAAUCAGAUUACAGUUUUUGUAUAUGGCUUGUUGGGUUGUUUGACUUGGUCUGAACUUUUUGUAUCAUAACAUAAUAGACAUUCACACAUAUUUCAUAACACUCCCUUUUUAGUGUCCAUCGCAUUAAGAAUAUACUUCGUUAAAACUUUACUAAAAAAAGACCUUAUAGAAAAAUCAGAGUAAAGGAAAAAAAGUAUAUAAUUCUUUUCAAUAAUAUGCUUUUGAAAUACUACCUCAUUAAAAACUUAUCAAGAAAAACCUAGUGAGAAAAACCUUGAUAAAGGAAAAGAGUACAAUGUGUAUUUUACUCUCCCUGAUGACUGUAUUAUUUAAGAUUUUUAAAAUGACACAUUCCAAUCUUUUGUACCAACUUUGCAAAUGUUGUAGUAAGAAGAGCUUUGGUAAACUGCUAGAUUGUCACUUAACCAAAUUUGUUGAAUACUAAUAUCCCCUUUUUCUUGAAGAUCAUGAAUGAAGAACAAUUUUGGUUCUGUUCUAAUGCCUUUAAUGUAUCAUUCCUUUAAUUUUCUAUGCAAACUGUAUUGUACUUAUAUAAUGUUGUUAGAAUUUCCUUCUUAGUUGACAAGCCACAUAUUUCUCGAAUAUAUUGAGUUACAAAUCUUAACCAGACACAUUCACGACUUGUUUCAUAAAUUGCAAAAAUUUUUGCAUGGCUAGAAGAAGUAGCAAUUAUAGUUUGUUUUGCAUAAUGCCAUAAAAUAGACGUACCUCCAUAUGUGAAUAAGUAACUUGUCUAAGAUCAAGCUUCGUGUGGAUCAAAUAAACAACAUACAUCUGCAUAACAAAUUAAAUUUGAUUUUGAUACAUUUGAGUAAUAAAAGCUUAUGUCCGUUGUUUCUCGAAGAUAUCAAAGUGUAUGUUUAAUUCCAUUCUAAUAUCUUCAAGUUGGAGAAUAACUAUAUCUUGCUAAUAAAUUUACAGUAAAUGAUACAUCAGGUUGUGUAUUACUAGCAAGAUACAUUAGUGCUCCAAUUGCACUAAGAUAUGGUACUUCAAUACUAAGUAGUUCUUCAUCAUCCUCACGAGGUCAAAAUGGGUCCUUUUUCACAUUUAAUAACCUUGCAAUCACUAGUGAACUCAAUAGAUGUGCUUUGCCCAUAUAAAAUCGUUUUAACAUUUUUUCUAUAUAAGUUGAUUGAUGGACAAAAAUUUCAUUUGUUAAGUGUUUAAUCUGAAGAUCCAAACAAAACUUUAUUUUUGCAAGUUCUUUUAUCUCAAAUUCUUUCUUUAAGUAAUCCAAGGCUUUUGAUAACUCGUCAGGAGUUCCAAUAAUGUUUAGGUCAUCAAAAUAUACAGCAAUAAUCACAAAUUCAGAUUUGGAUCUUUUUAUAAAAACACAUGAGCAUAUAGGAUCAUUUUUAUAGCCUUUUUUCAACAAAAAUUCACUAAGGCGAUUAUACCAUAUGCAUCCGAAUUAAUUUAAUCCAUAUAAAGGUUUAUUUAAUUUGAUUGAAUAUAUUUCCUAAGAAUGCAAAUUUUGUGUUUCAGGCAACUUCAAUCUUUCAGGGAUUUUCAUAUAGAUAUUGUUAUCAAGUGAAACUUAUAAAUAGGUUGUAACUACAUCCAUCAAAUAUUGAAAUGUAAUUGCAUCCACCAUAGGAAAAUAUGUUUCUUUAUAAUCAAUACGAGAUUUUUGGAUAAAAUUUUGUGCGACAAGCCAUGCUUUUAUAUCUCACAAUUUCAUUUUUCUCAUUUCAUUUUUGUUCAAAUAUCCAUUUAUAUCCCAUUAAUUUUACACCAUUUGGUGUAUGGACUAUAGGUCUAAAAACUUCAUGUUUUGCAAGUGAAUUUAAUUCUACUUUGAUUGCGUUUUUUCACAUUGACCAAUCAUUUCUAUGUCUACAUUCUUCAACAGAUGUAGGUUCAAGAUCCUCAUUUUCUUUCACAAUAUUGAGCACUGCAUUAUAUGCAAAAAUAUAGUUAAUGUCUAUAUCAUUCUGAUUCUAUCUUUUUCCCAUCAUGACAUAAUUUAUUGAGAUCUCUUCAUUUUCAUUGAUUUCAGGUACUUGAAUUUCUUUUAGAGUUAUGUCAAGAGUCUCUUCUAAAGUUUUUAUUUCCUCUUUCUAACCAUCUUGAAUAUUUGUUAUUUCCUCUUUUUCAUAAUUUUUAUCUUGGGAACCGAUUGAUCUCUCACGCUUCUGGUGUACCUUAGACUCAUUGGCAAUAACAGAUUGUCUUAUUGGGAUAUGAAUUCUAAUUAGAGCAUUUGUAGAUGGUAUAUGAGAUUUAGUUACUCUCUUUAGGUCAAUAAAUGUGUCUAGCAACUAACUUGUUAUAUUUUGCAAAUUAAUUAGUUUUUGAACUUCUUGUUUACAUUGAUUUGUGUGAGGAUCAAAACUAGAUAAUGAUAAUACAUUUCAAGAUAUUUCUUUUUUCAGCUACUUAUUUUAUCCCCCUAAUCUUGGAAAAAUUGUUUCAUCAAAUGACAAUCAGCAAACCUUGCCAUGAAUAAAUCUUUUAUUGAAGGUUUUAGAUAUUUAAUUAUAGAUAGAGAUUCAUAUCUAACAUAUAUUCCUAACCUUAUUUGAGAACCCAUCUUUGUACUUUGUGAUGGAGCAAUUGGAACAUAUAUCGCACAUCUAAAAAUUUUUAGAUAAGAAAUAUUUGGUUCCUAAUCAUAAACCAAUUGUAUUAGGAAGAAUUUAUGAUAACUUGUUGGCCUGAUGUGUACAAGUGUUGCUACAUGCAAAAUGGCAUGUCCCCAAACAUAAAUUAGGAGUUUAGAUUUUAUAAGUAAUGCCUUGGAAAUCAAUUUGAGGUAUUUAAUAAAUGAUUCCACUAGACCGUUUUGUGUAUGAACAUUAGCAGUAGGUUAUUCAACAAUUAUUCCAAUUGACAUGCAAUAUUCAUUAAAAGCUUGGGACGUAAAUUCACUAACAUUGUCAAUAUUUAUUGUCUUGAUUGCAUAAUAAGAAAAAUGUGCUCACAAAUGAAUGAUUCGUGCAAGUAAUCUUGCAAAUGCCAAAUUGCAAGUUAUUAAUAGAUAGUUCUUGCCAGUAAUAUCAAGGCCCACAAAUUCAAGCUUUGAAAGAUUCGACAUGGUGAUAGCUUAAAAGAAAAACAUAAUUAUUAGUAUUACACAAAAUAUCGUUAGUGGCAAGCAAAACAAUAAAUUGGCUAAAGAAAAACAAUAUAUUGGUAAAAUAUGGGCAAAACAAUAAAGUGACAAUACAUAAUAAUUGAAUUAAAAAAAUUACCUGAAGAAAAAUUAAACUUUGACUUUGGGAUAAUGAUGAAAAACUAAAUGAUACGUAAGCUUAAGAGAUUAGGGAAUCAUGCUGAUAACAUGUUAUAAAAUAUAAACUAAAAGAACAAUUAUAAAAGAAAGAGAAUAACAAUAAAGAAAAUAUUUAUAGGGAAUAAGAAGAUCUUACUGAAGUGUGUAUUUUACAAAUGAAUUGAGGGGCCUAUUUAUAGGCUAACAACCCCUUAAAUCAUAAUCCUAAUCUAAUUCAAUAUAAAAGUUCAAAUCAGAUUACAGUUCUUGUAUAUGGUCUGUUGGGUUGUUUGACUUGAUAUGAACUUCUUGGGUCAUAAUAUAAUGGACAUUCACACAUAUGUUUAUAACAAUUCCUUCUUUUUCCUCCCUUUCUUUUGCUAUCUCUCCAUCCUUCGAUCUCACACACCACCAAGACACCAACAUAUAGUGAAUUUUUCAACAAAAACUACAAAAAAUUGAUAAAUUUACAAUAUUUUAAUAAAUUUAGAAGAGCUUGGUUAAUUAAAUUUAAACAUGAUCUCAUAGGAGCUUGGUCGAAAGAAUACAAAAACCUACCUAAAUACAAAAAAAAUAUAUACUAGUUUAAUUAGAAUAUUAUUACAUAAGUUUUUUAGAUUUUUUUCACUACAAAAUUAUGAGCUUUUUUGGAUUGUUAAUAAAAUAAUCCUAAAUAAUUUAUUUUUUUCAUUGAAUUUUCUUUUUUUCAUCAUUAUAUGUCUCUUUUUUAUUUUUUUUAAGGUGAUAAAUGUUGAAUAAAAUAUAUUUUCAUUAUUAUUUAACUAAAUUAGAUUGUUAUUUUUUUUUAUUUUUCACUUAUUUUGAGAGCAAUUAUGACUUUUCAUAAUGGUAAAUAGUUGUUAACUAAUGGUAAUAAAAAGGAAAAAGUCAAGGGCCUAAUUAAGCAUUUUGAAACUACAGAGACCAAAGUGUACUUUAGAGGUGUAUUGAGGUGAUUUUUGUAUUUUACCCAAGACAUACACAAAUAAUUUACUAUAAUUAUGAACCAUUAUAAAAAUCAUUUGCAAUGCUUCUAGGUUUCUAAUUAAAUUGUUUUAGUUUUUACUUAAAAACUAUAUUAGCAAAUUUAAUGCUUUCGUUACCAUAGUUCUAAUCAAAUUUAAUUUCAAAUCUACUCCUUUCUAGAUAAAUCUUAGAUCUAAUUAAAUUAUCUACAUAAUCUACAAUUUUUUUGAAAAUUAAAAUUAUAAAAGGUUUUUUUAUACUUAACGCCAUCAUUAUUAUAAGUAGUGCUUCAUCCCAAACUUUGAAACAUUAUAUCUAUUAGCAUUUUUUAUAGAGUCCUUUCUACUCAUGAAAAUUACUUUUUCUUAAUGAUGAAAAUUUUCAUUUUAUUAUGUAACUAAAUUAUGCAAAAUCUGUGGUGUUAUCAUCCAAAAGUUUCAAUAAAUUUAUAUGGAUUUGUUUAACAUUUCAAUUUCAUUAAUUUUCAAUUGUAUUAGUUAAAAUUUAUUUUGUGUUACUUUUGUUAUAACUUUUUGCACUCUUUUAAUUAAUAAAAGUUUUUAUUUAUGCAUAAGGUAAUUUUUAAUAUUUGUGAAAUUUAUUCUUGUUUUGAAAUGACAAAAUUGAUUGAACUAAAGAGCUUAGAAAAUGAAUGAAAGAUACUUUCAAAUAUGAAGAAAAUCCUUAAAGGUGUUUUGAAGCUGAAGUUAAGAGAAAGAUAUAUUGAAUUGCUAAUAUUGAUUGAACAUGCUUUAAAUGUGAAUGAUCAUGCUCUUGAACUUAAAGAAAUGUCUCUUAGUUUCUCCUAAAGAUUUCUUGUUUUCAAAUUCAAAGUGCCUGCCUAAGAAUCAAAUUCUUAAAAGAAAAGACUUGAUUCUUAAAUGAGGAGAAAGCAAAAUUUAUUUUUUUAUCACAAGAAUAAUUGAUUUUGUAGAAGGAGAAGUCAGUUCUUAAGCAUAGAUCAACAGUAAAGAAUCGAUUUUGAGAAAAGAAAAAGUUAGUUCUUGAAAGACAGAAACUUCAGGAUUUGUGAAGAACCGACACCUCAAAGAAAAAGAAUCAAUUCUAAAAGGACGAAAUGUAAAAAGCAAAAAUGCAAAGAAGAAAUGUCUAUUCUACAUGGAGGAGAUAUCAGUUCUUGAAGCACUAAAAGCAAGAUUCAGAAACUUGGUGACCAAGAAAGAGAUAGUACAAUUGGAAAAGAUUGGAGCGCCAAAAAUCAAGCUCAAAUUCAAAAUUUAGUGCUAGACCAUAGUGAAAAAUUGAUACCUUGAGGUGGACAAACCGAUUCUCCAAGGUUGCAAAGGUGACACCUUUUAAUCCAAUUGUAAAAAAACCAACAUCUUAAAAUAGAAGAAUUGAUUCUCUAAAGACAGAAAGUUUCAGACUUUCUGAAGAACCGACAACUCAAGAGCAAAGAAUUGAUUUUACAUAUGCAACAGAAUUAUGCAAGUUGGUUGGAACAUAUAAGAAGUGAUUCAAAUUUCACUCCAACGAGCAAAAAAUCACAGAGGCUAUAAAUACCUACCUAAAUGACGCUCAAGCAAGGAACUUGAACGAAUUUGAAUCACCUUUGAAAAAGAAAAGAGUGAAAAAACAAGAAAAAGAGUUGUGAGCAAAAGAAUCCUAUCUUUAAGCUAGAGUUGAACUUAAAGAUCAUAUUUUUUUCAGUUGAUACUUCUUGACCUUAAACCUUCUUUCAUCAUUCAUAUUUUUUGAAGAAGCUCUCACCUUUUUGAUCCAAAACUUUCUUAUCAACCUUGUUAAUGGUUUUGAGCUAAAGGAUCUUAAGAAUCCACUGUUGUAUUGGUUAUAGCUCCAAGCAAAAGGUAAAAGGGUUUUUUCUGAUCUUUUAAAAGGUUGUAUCUUGUGUAAAGGGUUUACUUGAACCUAAAAAAGGUAGUGUCUUGGUAGAGGGUACACUUGAUCUUGUAAAAUGUAUGUUGUGAAGGUUAUGCUUAAUCUUGUUAAAAGGCAUGUUGUAAAAGUUACGCCUGAUCUUAUUGAAAAGGCAAGCUGAUAAUAGAUUUGAACUCCUUAUGCUAUCAAAGGAGAAGAUGUAGGCAUUGGAAAACCGAACCUCCAUAAAAAUCCUACUGAAUACUUUUUAUUUUUCUGUUCUUUACUUAUUUAUUUCGUACUCCGUUUUACUGUUCUAUUUUCUCAUAUUUAUGUUUCAUCUUCAAAGCUUCACGGUUCAUUUUUUCCUAAUCUCAUCUACUAUUUCAUAAAUUUCAACUAGAAUCUUGUUAUUACCCAUAAUUUCUGUCUCUAGGACUUCUGUCCUAACCAGCAACUUAUCCAUCAACCCACGCAUGUCUUUCUCCAUAUUCUCAAUUUGGUCUAUCAACUUGACCAGAUAUGUUGCAAUAUUGUCGAGGAUAUCUUCCUCUUCAGCAGCAACCCCCCUCCCACUUUCGACUCUAUAACGUUUGGAUGCCAUUAGAAUUUUGAGAUUUUCCUUCAAAUGAUUUUUAUUAAAAUGGAUAAUGGUUCUUUUUAUUUAUAUGCAUGGAUGUUGACUCUUGGAAGGGUAUUCAAUGGUUUUAGGCUUGUUUUUUGAUGAAUAUGGUUAGUUCGUAAAUAAUGCAUUAAGUGCUUUAAAGAGAAUUUCAAAGUUCUUUGUCAAUCGAAUCUGGAUGGUUUUCUGCACCAAUAUAAGUAGAAUUAAGGGGGCUGAAUUAGUUAUUAAGCAUUCCUAAUUCUCUUCUAAUUUUACAAAAUUUGUUAUUAAAGGGGCUAAAUUAGUAAAUAAUCAACUUCAACAUUAGGUAGAUAAAGCAAAGCAAUUCCCAAAACUAGUCACACAAUGCCUACAAACAAGUCACGCAAUGCCUACAAACCAGUCACGCAUUGCACAACUCACGUAAUUCUUAAAAUCUAGUCUCAAAUUGCCUCCUAUCUAGUUCCACAUUGUCUAAUAUUCAAUCACGUAAUGCCAAAUAAAUAGGUUACGAUUCUUAAUAUCCAGUCACACACCCUAAUAUCCAGUGACGCAAUUCCUAACAAAUAUUCACGCAUUGCCUAUAAACUGAUUGAUUUCGCUACUCUCAGCCAGAUUUAAGUUUCCAAAGUCAUAUAAUUUACCCAUCAACUUUUUCGUUCAAUGAAUAUAAAAAAAUAAACCCAAGAACCCAUAACAAAUACUUUGAUGUCAUCUCUACACUUUGGGAUGGUGAUAUAGAACUCGACGGCAUUGGAGAGCUAGACGACGAGAUAUAUUCCACGAUAGGGUCAGAGACUUGGAUAGAGAGAUAGCUAAUUUGAGAUUUAAUUUUAAAAUUUUUAUCUAAAUGGCGGGAAAGGAGAAAGAAACUGGGACCACUUAAUUGGGAUUAAAUGGUUUAAAUGGUAUUCUUGUUAAGUCAUAUAAAAAAUUAUCUAAAAACAGUUAAAAUUAUAAUGAAGGUCAUUUCUGAAGUGACAUUAUUAAGAAGGCUAUUUUUCACAAUUUUCUCUUUAAGAUACUAGUGCAAGGUAUUAUCGGGAAUUGAACAGGGAUUAUAUGGUGGCAAGGUUUUAUUCUACCACUAGUCCAUUGAAGCCCCUUCUGUGAGGUUUGAGCUAUUUCUAUGUUUUUUUAACAUCAAAAUUUAAGCUAAUUAAAUUGAUUUAAAAUUAUAUUAUACAUCUUAAUAAGAAUAAUGUACCAUAAUCAAAUAUUUCAUUCAAUAAUAAAAACAUCUCUCUUUAAAAAGAUUAAAAAAAAGUGAAUAUUAGUAUAUUCCUUGAUAAGCAAAACAUUUUUGCUCUUCAAGGUUAUUAGUGUUCAAAACUUUUUGUUUUUUCCUUGAAAUUAAAAUAAAAAUUAUUUUAUUAAUUUACCUUCCAAUGCCAUAGUAGUAAGGAGAAAGUAGGAAUAUUUUCCAAACUUUUGCAUCUCAAUAAAUCAACUGAAACAUCCUAUUAAUCACUCUGGAGUAGCCCUCGCUUUCAAGAUCUUGGCUCUAAGCUUUACAGCAAACUCUGCAAACUUGUCAGCCUCAGGCAUAACAUCCUUCACAGCCACAUGAGAGGAGAACCUAUGAGCCCACUCGAGCAAGCAACGAGUCCUGGCUUCAGUAAGCAGCUUCAUCUCACUAAACUUCUCUAUCACUUGUAAACAGACUAAUAAGGACCCGAGUGCAAUGUCCAGGUACCCGAUUUGAUCCCCACCAAAGAAAGGUUUCCCUUGGCUCAACUUUCCAAAUGCUUCCUCCAACAGCACCAGCCCUUCUUUCACUUGCGCUAUUGCUGCCAUUUUAGCAUCCUCCGAUUCAGCAACCAACACUCCUCUCAAGGCAGGGAACCACUAUACCACGGAAAAACAAGAAAAAAGAAACAACUAUGAGAAUCUUUUCAAUCAAAAACGCCUAGGUGAGACAUAAUAAACUGUCGUCAACAACAGCAGGAUCAAUCAU